RNAcentral lists this long non-coding RNA (57083 nucleotides) under Ananas comosus (pineapple). Its description in RNAcentral is "long non-coding RNA (ACOM_LNC001722)". Lineage: Eukaryota; Viridiplantae; Streptophyta; Magnoliopsida; Poales; Bromeliaceae. The record is from RNAcentral.
CCAAAAUGUCACUCCUCAUUAAUAUAAUUCUUAUCACAUACUAGCACUAUCAUUCAUUUAACUUUGAUGCCUAUAUAAUAUUUUUAUUCCAUCUUAUAUAAUACUUAAUCUAAUAAUAAAUUUUUUUAAGCUUCAUACUUAUCUAAUAAUAUUUAUCUUUCGACGCUUCAUAAAAUAUUGUCAUCUUUUUAAUUUUUAUAAUAUGCAUCGUUUUCUAAUUAUAAUAUCUCCUUGCCUAUCAUACGCGUGAUUAAUCUCCUUCACUACAACAAAAACGGUCUAUAGCGACACUUUUAAAUGUCGGUACAGGUCAAAAAAAAGUGUUGCUGGCUAAAUUACCGACACUUUUAAAAAGUGUUGCUAUAUGUGGGGUCGCUAGGUAUAUAGUGACAGUUAAAGAAUGUCGCUAUAACCUAAAAAGAGUGCUGCUAAUUUACCAACACUUAUUUAAGCAUUUAGCAACUGCCGGAACUCUACCUCGUUGGCUACGGUGGCAGAGGAGGACGAGAGGAAGGGAUCUUCGUCUAGGAUUUCAGUCGAUUGAGUGAGGGGAGAAGGGGAAAUGGUAAUCGAUUUUUCUUUUCUUUUUUUUUUCUGUUUGUAAUCGGAUCGAAUGGACUGGGUGGGGUGGGUUGAGUAGAGUAACAUUUUAUUUUUUGUUGGAUUGGACUUUAUAUUUAGGCAUUAGUAGUUUUUUUUUUAAGUUUUGGCAUAAAUGGGACACUUACACAAAAGUGUCCCAAACAUAUGUCCCUAUAACCUAAUUCUGUUGUAGUGAGCUUCCUCCUAUUCGCUUCUAUUCCUUCCAUACAUUAUAUUCGCUUUUCUCUCCAUACCUCCUCCUAUUCGCUUCUUUCUCUAUUCCUUCCAUACCUUCUUUGUGUGGAUACAUUGAAUGUGGUUAAAAAGUUACAUUUUAUUCUAACCCUUUAUUUUAUUUUAAUUUUAUGUUUUACUACUGUAAUAACCUAUCUCAUAUUUGCUUCUCUGAUCCCUAUUCCUUCCACAACUCUGCCGCGAUCUAUGUCAUCAUCUAUGUCGUCCCGCGAUCUAUGUCGUCAUCUAUGUCGUCGUCUUUUCCUAUUCCUUCCACAACUUCUCUGCCGCAAUCUAUGUGUAAGUCAUCGUCAUCAUUGCACUUCAUUAUCUUCGUCAUUGCUAGCAUGUCAUCUUCGUCUACAGGUAGUGACAGAAAGAACGAAAUUUUCCUGAAAUAAUAAUUAAAAAUUUACAUUUUAUUCUAGCUUUUUUUUUUGUUAAAUGAUAAAAUAAUGAUGACAUUUUCAGUUUACUUCAGUUAUAGUUAUAAGUUUUGUAUUUUUUUAUGAUAAUAUAAUUUUAUUUUUAUUACUAUCGUUAUUUUGAUAAUGAUAAAAUACAUUACAUCAAAAUUAUAUAUUUAUUUCUAAAUAUUUUUAUUUUCGGUAAUUUUAUACAGCGUGCAUUGCACAUGCAUAUACUAGUUGAGUGUACGCGAAAAUGCAUGUAACAAUUAUUUUAGUUUAUUUUAAAUUAAUAUAAAUUUAUACAUUAUAUUUAUUUAAAAUUUACAAUAAAAAAUAUAUUUUAUAAAUUCAUAUGUUAUAUUUUAUUAAAAAAUAUUUGAAAUAUUCUAUAUUUUCUUUUUUAUAUAUAUUAAAUAUUUUUAUUUAUUUUUUGAUUUUUGAUGAAUCUAAAAUUUGAGUAUGUAUCUUAAACUAAAAGCAUCAAAAUUUAAUUCAUGUUUAUUUCAAAAUUUAAAAUUUAAUUCUGAUCCACAAUAGUUAAAAUUGUUUAAUUGUUAUUUUAAAUUUGAUAUAUAAACUCAAAUUUAAAUUUUAAUGUAAAAUUAAUAGAUGGAAAGAAUAAAAAAUAUUUUUAUUUAUUUAAAAUUCUAUAUUUUAUAAAUUCUAUAUUUUAUACAUUAUAUUUAUUUAAAAUUUACAAUAAAAAAUAUAUUUUAUAAAUUCAUAUGUUAUAUUUUAUUAAAAAAUAUUUGCAAUAUUCUAUAUUUUCUUUUUUUAUAUAUAUUAAAUAUUUUUAUUUAUUUUUCGAUUUUUGAUGAAUCUAAAAUUUGAGUAUGUAUCUUAAACUAAAAGCAUCAAAAUUUAAUUCAUGUUUAUUUCAAAAUUUAAAAUUUAAUUCUGAUCCACAAUGGUUAAAAUUGUUUAAUUGUUAUUUUAAAUUUGAUAUCAAAAAUUAAAUUUAAUUCACGAUUUAAACUCAAAUUUAAAUUUUAAUGUAAAAUAGAUGGAUAAAAGUGCUUUUUUUAACAAGUUAAUCAUAACCGUUCAUUUUUUCAAAUAUUUUUAACAAAUUGAUCAUAAUCACUUGUAGAAUUGAAUUUAUUGAUGGAUAUGGAUGUUAUAUUUUUAACAGAUUUAUCAUAACUGUUCGUUCUUACUUGAGAUAUUUUUUAACAAAUUGAUUGUGACCGUUUAUAGGAAAUAUUUUUUUUAUUCUUUUUUAAUUUCGUCUGUCAUUCUUAUAUGUUUGUAUAUAUAAUAUAGAUUGAUGAUAACCGUUUGUAGUGAACAUUUUUUUAUUCUUUUUUGAUUUCGUCUAUUAUUUCUAUAUGCUUCUAUAUAUAGUAUAGAUNCGCUCAUGCCAGUUGGACUUGCUCUCCACGGACCAGUUAGAGUGGAUAGAGCCCGAUAGUCGCAACGGGGCAGGGACGGGUGUAUUCACAGUCCCGGGGACGGGUAUGCUUACAGUCCCGAUUGGAUUGGGUCAGAUUUGACAUUUCCUACAGUUGGUUAGUGUAGAGCAUGAUAGUGUAGUGGAUGAUAGCGGUAGAGUAUGCUUCCUGCUUUCCUUCUAUCCUUGCUCCCUUCUGUAGACUUAGUGGGUGGCCGAUGUUUGUUUUUGGCGGUGCCCACUGAGGACUACUUGUUUUUACAGUAGUUCUCACGCCCAGUUGUUACCUAUGUUUUUGCAGAGCCACAGGUUCCGGCUGCUGCACCGUCUGCGGACCAGGAUCGAGGCAAGGGCGUCGCGAGUUAGAGCCCUACCCGACGUGCUGAGCUAGAGGUGCCCUUCUGCAGGUAGAGGUUUUGUUUCGAGUUUAUGUACAUAGUUGACUUAACUCGCCAGUGCGAGUAGCUCUGUAUUUUUGGAUCCGAACUAUGUAUAUGAAACUCUGUUUUAUUUAGCUUCAGUUUUCUCUAGCAGCUCUCUACUACUGUUUGUAGUAGUGUUUGAUUUACAGGUACAACUAUCGCUUCGUAUACAGGGAAAAUUUCUUUGUAUACGGCGGAUUUGUCGGCGUACCCGGGGAACGUGUAAUCCGGGGCGUGACAACCCUUGUAUCAAUAAUUAAUUAUAGGAUUAGAAUGAUAGUUAAUGAUUUUGCUAGAGCAAUUAUAUUAAUCGAGGGAAUCGAAAUGGUAAAAAUAUUUGAUCCAAGAAUUAAAAAAUUAACAUGAGUGUAUUUGCGUGCGGAAGAAAGAGCCAAAAUAGAUUAAUGCCUCGCUUGUUAGUUAAUUGGUACGAAAUUUUACGGAACAAACAAUUAAAAUGGCGACCGUUUCGUCACGCAAUUCUGCAUGUGAGUGGCGAAGGUCACGUAAUUUCUCACGCAUUUAUGGAAAAGAAGGAAAGGACAAGAGAGAGAAUUUAUUGCUACUUUCUCUUUGUUGCUACGUACCCCUCAUUCGUUCUUUUAAAUUAAUAUCUACGAUAUAUCCGUUUCGUGUAUCACUGUUGAAGAUUUUGAUAGAUCAGCUGAAGCUUCUCCUAAAUUUCAACAUUCUUUCUCCGCUCAUUUAUGGUCUUCUUCUGCAGGAAGAAAUGUGGCUGCAGAGAUGAAGUCAUCUUCGAAAGUUACAAGCCAAAAUGGCCCGAGUUUGGAGAUAAUAUUUUAUAUACCUAGUAGUUUGGACAGGAACAGUAGGGACAGGAACAGUAACCCUAAAUUAUUAUUAAAAUUUUCCUGAUUAUAAAUAAUUCUAAUUUUCAAACUAACAAUUUAUCAUGAGUUUGUGUGUAGAGAACCCAUAAGUGAAAAAACUCAAAUGACGAAAUGUAAAAAGAGUCGACGAGCAACUUAUUUGCAGAAACUCUUUAUACUUUUCAGAUUAAAGGACCUUAAUUUAAUUUAUUUAGAGCUUAAAUUUCUUAAAUAUUUCAUUUAUAUCUAAGGUUGAAAAUUUUGAAUUGUGUUGUAAAUGUUGCAAUCUAAAGACAUACAUGAACCAGAAUGCAUACAUGAUCUUAAUAAAUGCUGAAAGAAAAUGCCAAAAUUCUUUUUGUCAAAGUCCAAAGAUAUCAAAACUCUUCAAAGUAUGUUUGAGCAGCCAAAAAUUAUUCCAGGGCACUCGAAAGUCUGGAAUUUGAAUUUGAAUUUAAUAACUAAGUUGCAUGCUUAGCUUUUCGUUCAGAAGUAGAAAUGAUGACUCGGGCUUAUUCGAAUGUUUGAAUGUUGUUUUAAUUGGAUGCCCGAUAUUCAAGGGUUGCAUAUAUAUAUAUAUAUAUAUAUAUAUAUGUUAAUCCUUUUUUUGUAUAUAGCUGUGAAAUAAUUAGGCCCAUGGAUUCAGACGCUUGAUCAAACAUUAUUCUGAGUGCCCGAAACUGCACUGCAUUAAUUUAGUCAAAAGAGCUGUUGGCGCUAAAUAAUUACGAAAGCGGCCAAGAACUUGAAAAUGGUUUUGGAAGCCCAACAUGUACAACAGAAUUAUUAUAACGAGUAAAUUAUGAAUUUUGACUAUAAAUAAGGAACUUUGUUACUUCAAAUUAAUAGAGCUUGCUUGCUGAGCUUGAAAUUAUUGUAACUUAAAUCUCCACAUUGGCUUUAAGUUGGCGUGAAUUAUAUCGUAAGAUAAAUACUGCAAAAGAGAGAAAAUAAGAGAAAAUAUUAAUUGUAAUUAUGAGAUCUUCUUGUGAAGAUGAAGAAUUUGUCAUCAUGUUCCAUUUAUUUCGAUUAAUAUAUAUACACAUUCUUUAAUUGUCAUAAAAUAUAUUGAAAAAUUAUUUUUUUUUUUGUUUUAUAGAAUUUCAAUAAGGGUAUCAUGCAUUGGUGCAUGCAUGGGGAGCAUGCAAUAUGUUCUGCCAAGUACAAUACCAUUUGAACUGGGAUUGCAGUUUUUCCUGAAAUUGUCAUGAUUGACAAAUUUUGACCUAUUCCCGUCAGAGGAUGGUGACCUAUCUAGUCUAGUAUUUAAAGGGCAAUUAAUGUUUUCAAAAAUUCGAUCUCAAGUUUGACAUGUAAACUCAAAAUCCGAAUGCGAAUCCCUACGUGGCGACGAAUGUUUAAAAAUUUAUAUCUAAAAUCGAAAUCGACUAAAAAUUUAAAAUCCAAAUCCGAAAAGUGAAUCUGAAACAACCAUUUCUUCUUAUCAUAUUCUAUAUAUUAAAUAGUACAUUUCUCUUAUACUCUGUCUCCUUUUAUUUAUAUUUCUUUAAAUAUAUUAUUAUUAUUUUUCAUAUUUAUAAUUUUGAGAAACUAUCUAAUUAACAAUGAGUUAUUACAAAAUUUUUCUUUAAACAAAUAUUCUGGUAAAAUUAUUUAACUAGAUAUCAUUAAUAUAUAUAACAUAUUAUGUUUUAAUAAUUUCAAUCAUUUAAUACUCAUAUUGUUGAUUUGUUGGUCAUUUACACACACACAUAGAUAUAUGUUUGUAUAAAAGGUUAUUUCACAUUUGUAGCAAUUUAAACCACUUUUAGUUAAAUUAAUUAUUUAUUUGAAUUAAUUUUAGCCCUUAAUUUGAGUAAUUAAUUAUAUGAAAAUGUAUAAAAAUUAGUAUAAAGUUUACUAUUAAAAUAUUUUAUAUUCACAGCAUCGCGCGGUUUGUUACUAGUAUUAUAUUAAAAUCUAAAUAUUUAAAUUAUAAAUUCAAAUAUAAAAUCAAAAAUUUAUAUAUAUUGUAUUAUAUAAAGAGGCAUUAAGUUUAUUCGAAUUUGGAUUGGGUACAAAUAAAAUCCAUAUCCAAAUACGAAUUUGUUGGACUUUCAUUUUUUUAUACCCAUAUUUGAAACUAUAUUUAUUUAUUAACAGAUAAAUCCAUACCAUUCGGAUUCGGCCUCAGAUAAAAAUAUUAUCCGCACUCAUUGACAUUCCUAAUGUAUAUGCCUUAUGCAUGUGAAUUUUGUGUGUGUGUGUGUGUGUGUGUGUUUUGUUUGUUUGUUUGUUUUAAUUCAUUUAAAACGCGCGGGCCAUAUUGACAGUGAAGUCAAAACUACAAAUCCGGGCCAAACGUACUAUCAAUUACUGUCACUAGUACCAGUACAAUGAAGGGGGUGUUUGGCUUAAAUUUUAAAAAAUAAUUUUAAGGUCAAAAAUGAUUUUCUUUUAGGAGAGUGUUCUGAAAUAAAAUCUGAUUCUGAUUUUUAAAAGAAGAUCUAAUUUUAGAGGCACGAAAAUUAGAAACAACUAAAGAAGAUCGAUCUGAUUCCCAAAAAAUUUAAAAAUUAAAAUCUUAAAAUUUAAAAAUUUUAAAUCUAAAUUUUGAAAUUUAUAUUUAUAUUCUAAUUUUAAAUUUGUAAAUUUUAAAAUUAUAUCUGAAAUUUUAAAUUUUAAAUUGCAAAAUUUUAAAAUACUAAUUUAGAUUUUAAAUUUUUAAAUUUCAAAUUUUAAAUUUGAUUAUGAAGUUUAAAUUUAGGUUUUAAUAUAAAAUUUGAUCCCAAAAACUUUGCCAAACACCUUUAGUGAAAAAAAUGCUAUACCCAAACUUGUGUCUUGAUUAAUUAAUAGGAAAGAAGCCUAAAGAUUUUCUUAGGAUUCACUACUCAUAUGUAUGAUAAAAAUCAGAUGAGUUAUGUCAUGAGAAAUGAUUCGGUACUUUUUAAAAAAGAAAAUAAAAAAAAUCUUAACCGUUGAUUAAUAGUGGGCAAAAAUGUAAUUUUNAUAUAUAUAUAUAUAUAUAUAUAUAUAUAUAUAUAUAUUGUAUUAUAUAAAGAGGCAUUAAGUUUAUUUGAAUUUGGAUUGGGUACAAAUAAAAUCCAUAUCCAAAUACGAAUUUGUUGGACUUUCAUUUUUUUUAUACCCAUAUUUAAAACUAUAUUUAUUUAUUAACAGAUAAAUCCAUACCAUUCGGAUUCGGCCUCAGAUAAAAAUAUUAUCCGCACUCAUUGACAUUCCUAAUGUUUAUGCCUUAUGCAUGUGAAUUUUGUACAUGUGUGUGUGUGUUGUUUGUUUGUUUGUUUUAAUUCAUUUAAAACGCGCGGGCCAUAUUGACAGUGAAGUCAAAACUACAAAUCCGGGCCAAACGUACUAUCAAUUACUAUCACUAGUACAAGGGGGUGUUUGGCUUAAAUUUUUAAAAAUAAUUUUAAGGUCAAAAAUGAUUUUCUUUUAGGAGAGUGUUCUGUAAUAAAAUCUGAUUCUGAUUUUUAAAAGAAGAUCUGAUUUUAGAGGCACGAAAAUUAGAAACAACUAAAGCUUUCUUCAUAAAAUAUGAUUCCCAAAAAAUUUAAAAAUUAAAAUCUUAAAAUUUAAAAAUUGUAAAUCUAAAUUUUGAAAUUUAUAUUUAUAUUCUAAUUUUUAAAUUUGUAAAUUUUAAAAUUAUAUCUGAAAUUUGAAAUUUUAAAUUGCAAAAUUUUAAAAUACUAGUUUAGAUUUUAAAUUUUUAAAUUUCAAAUUUUAAAUUUGAGUAUGAAGUUUAAAUUUAGGUUUUAAUAUAAAAUUUGAUCCCAAAAACUUUGCCAAACACCUUUAGUGAAAAAAAUGCUAUACCCAAACUUGUGUCUUGAUUAAUUAAUAGGAAAGAAGCCUAAAGAUUUUCUUAGGAUUCACUAAAAAUCAGAUGAGUUAUGUCAUGAGAAAUGAUUCGGUACUUUUUAAAAAAGAAAAUAAAAAAGAUCUUAACCGUUGAUUAAUAGAGGGCAAAAAUAUAAUUUUAAUAUUUAGCAGGUAAAAGGAUUAUUUUAUUCAAGGUUAGUUUUGUAAUUAAACAAUACAACAUUUAAAGAAACUUUUAAUUGAGGUCCUAAAUUUAGGCAUUAAUUUGCACUAAUUUAGGAAAUUAAUUGAUUAACCAAAUUUAUGCAUUAAUUAGGCAUAAAUUUAGGCAUCUACUUUAAAUGUUUUAGUGUUUCUAAAAUUAUGCAUUAAUCUAAAUUAUAGGAAUUUUAGAAAUAGUUCUAUUUCUAAAUACGAUGAAUUUAAAUUUUAAAUAUUAAAUAUUUAAAAUUUAAAAGUGAAAUUUAAAUUAGAGGAAUUUUGCAUUACUAUUUAAAAAAAUUGUAAUGUUGGUAAAUAUUUUAAUUCAACAUAUUUAAUAUACUUAAAAAACUUUUAAAUUCCUAUAGUUUAGACAUUAAUUUUGUAUCACUUAUUGAAAAAAUUUUGAAUGUACGUGAAAUAAUUUAUAAUUUAAAUGUAUUUAAUAUGUUAAAAAAAAUUAGAGUUGUUCUAGUACUUUAGACAUUAAUUUUGUAUAACUAUCUAAAAACAUUUGUAAUGUUGGUAAAUAUUUAAAUUUAACAUAUUUAAUACGUUUAACAAAAUUAUAAAUUCAUCUUAGUCAUUAAUUUUGUAUACUAAUUUUAAAAAAUUAAAUGUGGGCAAAUAUUUAAAUUCAAAAUAUUUAAUCACAAAAUAAUCUAAAUUUCAUUCUUAUUUUAUUAAAAAAAGAUUUAGAAAGCAAUAGGUAUGGAAAGAAAUUUUAAUGCAUAGUUUCUUAAAAUCAAACUGGUUUGAAAUAUUAAACAAAUAAACAAAGAGAAAAGAAAAAUUAAAAGAUCAUAUUGUCAAAUAAUUUGAAAAUUUUUUUAUAUGAAAUGCCACAUUAUGAAAGGAAAGAUAGAGAGAGAAAAAGUAAACAGAGAGAAAAUAAAAAUUUUGAAAAUAUAGUAAAGAUAAAAUAACUAAAUUGCCCAUGUAUUAAAAGACAAAAAUACUCUUUUUUGAGGUACCUGGUAAUCGGUACCUCUCCUAAAGUGACCUGCAUUUGCAGGUCACAAUUUUAAAAAAGUUAAAUCUGAACCGUUGAAUAUGCGUAAAUUAGCGGUAACGGAAAAAAAAAAAUUAAAGUAUAGAAGCAUUACUCUUAGGAUGCGUUUGGUUCAGGUUAUCCUAACAGGAUUAUAGGCAAUCAUAUCAGGAUUACCGUGUUUGGUUCAUCCAGUAUAUAAUCGGGUCGUUAAUAUAGCAUUACAAAUGUUGCAGGAUUGCACUAAAAAUAUUAACGAGAGGGGGAGUGUAUCUUGCAUUACUGAAAACCAAUAAUACUGCAUAUUAUGUAAAAUGAUAAUUUUACCCCCCUAACUUCCGAAACUCUUUCAAUACAAUACAUCAUUUUAAAAAAUUUAAUUUAAAAUUUUGAAUUGUUAACUUUUAAAUUUUUAAUUUUUAAUUUUAAAAUUUAAAUUUUUAAAUUUUAAAUUUAAAUUUUUAAACUUCAAAUUUAAUUUUAAAUUUUAAAUUUAAAUUUAAAUUUUAGAUUUUAAUUUUAUAUUUAUAUUCAUUUUUAUAUUUUAUAUUUUAAAUUUAUAAAUUUCAUAUUUAUAUUUUAAAUUAAAAUAUUAAAUAAACUUAAAAUUUAAAAUUUAAAUUCAAAUUUAAAAUUUAAAUUUAAAUUUUAAGUUUAAAAAUUUAAAAAUUCAAAACUAAAAUUCAAAUUUUAAAAUUUAAAAGUUGUCAAUUCAAAAUUUUAAAUUAAAUUUUUUAAAAUGACGUAUUGAAAAUGUUUCGGGAGUUAGAGGGGUAAAAUUAUCAUUUUACACAAUUUGCAGUAUUUCUUUCUUUCAGUAAUGCAAGAUACACAUCCCCGUCUUGUUAAUAUUUUUGGUGUAAUUCUGCACUAUUUGUAAUGCUAUAUUAACGACUCGAUUAUAUGCCGGAUGAACCAAAUACGGUAACCCUGACAAGAUUGUCUGCCAGGAUAACCCGAACCAAACGCACCCUUUUGUCAUUUGCACGAGGAGUAAUGGGAAAGACAACAAACCAUGAGAUUAUAGAAAAAUCAAAAGCAUAUCUCCUUAAUUGGAGUACGUACGUUUAGAAAUUACUCUGAAACCAUGUUAGUGAAUAGUGAAAGUCGGACCUAAUAUAAAAUAACGCAAUGUCUGAACAAAAUACCAAAAAAUUUGAGUUGUAGUAGUUAAUUACUAGACUUUUCAAACAGUACUCUAGAUUGCAUUCAAAGAUAGCACCAUUCAUAUUUGAUUCCAUGGCAUUAAUUAGCUUCCUAGUACGUACAAUCAGAUAUCAAUAUAUAGAGCAAUCCUACUCUUCCAAAUAUCUUAUAUAAUUAAUUAAUUAAAAGCAUUCAUACUAACUGUACCAAUGUUUUUUUUUUUUUUUUUUGAGAGAAAGGUAGCAUGCUACCGCUUCGUUUAUUUCAUUUAGAAAUAAGCAGCAGCUUUUUAACUCAAAAAUAAAUCAAAAGUCAAUGUUUUCGGGACAAGUUUGGCGGGAACUGGUUAACAAAAAUUUGAUCGCAAGCGACAAAGGGCUUGGUAGUUGGUACUUAAGAUUUCAAAUUCGAAGUCUCAUUGAUUCAAUUUUCAGUUUAAUUAAUUUUCUAAAAAAAAUAAACGAAACGGACAAUAUGCUACCUUCCUCUCUCUAAAAAAAGAAAUUCAAAAAGCUUGGUGGUUGGUAGCUGAGGCUCCAAGCUCAAAAAAAACGAAAUUAGUAACAUGCUAUCUCUCUCUCUCUCUCUCAAAAAAAAAAAGAAAAAAAAAAAGAAAAAGAAAAAGAAAUUCGACCUAGAUGGGCUGGCUAGAUGCCAAUCUCACUACGAGGUUGGAUAGAUAAUCAUUCAUUCCGAUUUCUAUGCCGACUAAAAACUAAUUAACCAACCAAACUAACAAAAUUGAUUAUCGAAUUCUGAUUGCUAUUGGGAUUCCAUUUAAUUUGUUAGUGAGAUCGAUCUAUUCAUUGAUCAGGCCAUCUUUGGCCCCCUCACGAGUGCAUUUACAUGCACAUGCACAUGCACNCUUAAAAUUAAACUCGUUUGAAAUAUUAAACAAAUAAACAAAGAGAAAAGAAAAAUUAAAAGAUCAUAUUGUCAAAUAAUUUGAAAAUUUUUUAUAUGAAAUGCCAAAUUAUGAAAUGCCAAAUUUAAAAGAUCUUUUUUGAGGUACCUGGUAACCGGUAUCUCUCCUAAAGUGACCUGCUAUUGCAGGUCACAAUUUUAAAAAAGCUAAAUUUGAGCCAUUGAAUACGCGUGAAUUAGCGGUAACGAAAAAAAAAAAAAAAGUAUAGAAGCAUUACUCUUAUGUCAUUUGCACGAGGAGUACUAGGAAAGACAACAAACCAUGAGAUUAUAGAAAAAUCAAAAGCAUAUCUCCUUAAUUGGAGUACGUUUAGAAAUUACUCUGAAACCAUGUUAGUGAAUAGUGAAAGUCGGAUCUAAUAUAAAAUAACGCAAUGUCUGAACAAAAUACCAAAAAAUUUGAGUUGUAGUAAUUACUAGACUUUUCAAACAGUACUCUAGAUUGCAUUCAAAGAUAGCACCAUUCAUAUUUGAUUCCAUGGCAUUAAUUAGCUUCCUAGUACGUACAAUCAGAUAUCAAUAUAUAGAGCAAUCCUGCGCUUCCAAAUAUCUUAUAUAAUUAAUUAAUUAAUUAAAAGCAUUCAUACUAACUGUACCAAUGUUUGUUUUUUUUUUUUUUUUUUUUUUUUUUUUUGAGAGAAAGGUAGUAUGCUACCCGCUUCGUUUAUUUCAUUUAGAAAUAAGUAGCAGCUUUUUAACUCAAAAAUAAAUCAAAAGUCAAUGUUUUCGGGACAAGUUUGGCAGGAACUGAUUAACAAAAAUUUGAUCGCGCCAAGCGACAAAGGGCUUGGUAGUUGGUACUUAAGAUUUCAAAUUCGAAGUCUCAUUGAUUCAAUUUUCAGCUUAAUUAAUUUUCUAAAAAAAAUAAACGAAACGGGCAAUAUGCUACCUUCCUUUCUCUAAAAAAAGAAAUUCAAAAAGCUUGGUGGUUGGUAGCUGAGGCCCCAAGUUCAAAAUAAACGAAAUUAGUAACAUGCUAUCUUUCUCUCUCUCUCUCAAAAAAAAAAAAAGAAAAAAAGAAAAGAAAAAAAAAAGAAAUUCGGCCUAGAUGGGCUGGCUAGAUGCCAAUCUCUCUACGAGGUUGGAUAGAUAAUCAUUCAUUCCGAUUUCUAUGCCGAUCGACUAAAAACUAAUUAACCAACCAAACUAACAAAAUUGAUUAUCGAAUUCUGAUUGCUAUUGGGAUUCCAUGCAUUUAAUUUGUUAGUGAGAUCGAUCGAUCUAUUCAUUGAUCAGGCCAUCUUUGGCCCCCUCACGAGCGCACGCACAUACACAUGCACAUGCACACGCACAAAACCAAACACUCCCAAACAAAAGGAUCCUCACAGCUUAGCUGCUACGCGCAGGAGGAGGCAACCCCGUGUCCUACCGUAAUAGAUCGAGCAGCUAUCGCACACAGAUCGAUUCAGCAUCAACACAAUAUCCUCAUGGGAGGGGCCCCCGUUCUUGUACGUACUAUUCUGGGUCCCCCUCUCUCCCGGACUUGAAGCUUCAGAUAUGUUUCUGAGAUUAGACAACACAAAACAGCUAAUGUAACGUUUCCACUGCCUCACCUAUGAAAGGUCAGGUUCAAAAGCAACACGAGAGGGGUGAGAAAAAGGGAGCGACAAAAGAGCUCCUAUGAUUUCUCUCUGAUUUGUUUGCGCGUUUAGAAGAAAAGACCAACAGGGUAGGGUCUCAAUAAUGUCAAACAUGUCUCAAGCAGAGUAUAAUGAUGCCCUAAAGGUUGCAAUGAUGCCUUUCUCCUGCACCAUGCUGUGCUGACCAAUCAUGUUUGAUACAUCGCCUUGGAUGCAUCUUGUCGGCCAGCUGGUUCUGUUUGUUCUGUUUGAAUAUAACUAUUUAACGAAAUAAUAAAAAUAUAUUUUUAAAAUUUUAUGGCACGAAAAUUUGUUAAUUUUUAUUCUAUUAAGGUCGCUCACCAACUUAUAAUAAUCCGGCGGAAUAAUAAGCUUAAUAUUGAGACUUUUACUUUUGCGACCUAGAAAGCUUUUCUUUAUUUGAAGUUUGUUAUAUUAAGAGUUUAUAAUUUAAUAGUUUUACAUCUAGUAAAUACAAAAGAGUAGAAGAGUUGAUAUAUACAUAUACUAGCUAGUAGGUCUAUAUCUAAGAAGUUUAAACUUUUGGUAAGAAUUAUCUAUUUUAAAGAUAGAUAUAAGUUCAGCUAUAAGCAAUAACUAAAUCAAUUUUACGUUUGGAUAAGAAUUGGAUUGUUCUUGAAAUAAGAGAAAUAGCGAUUAAUUAGAUAAGAUGGAAUAAGAAGGAUAAUGGGUAGUUAUAAAUAAAAAAUAAUGAUAUUACCCUCCCAUUAUAUUUCAAUUUAUUUUUAAAUUUUAUAUUUAUAUUUUAAUUUGAAAAAGUUCUAUUAAAUAUGUUAUAAUUUUGGGUUCAUGUGAGUCAGUAUUGGGCCUAAAAUUUUUUAACAUGUUAUGUUUCGUUUGGGAUUAAUAGUAGGGAGAUUGCGUUAAGGGGCCAUUUGAUUAGAUGUAAUUAUAAAUGCAAUAUAGUUAGAGAUGCAUGCAGUUAGAAAUACAACAGUUACAACUACAUGAAUUUAGAAAUACAACAGUUACAACUACAUGAAUCAUGUUUGGUUGGAUGUAGUAGAAAGCGCUGUAAGUAUAAAUAAUUUGUUUGGUUGCAUAUAGUUGAGAAUUAAUUUUUAAAAUUUUAUUAUUUUAUAUAUAUGAUGGUGAGAUUACCUCCAAUUAAUGUAACAAAAGAAAAUAAUUUUUAUUUAAAAAAUAUUAAGGAGGUAAGCAUACCUUUUAUUUAAAGUUACUCUCUCCAAUUGCUGUAGUUGGAACUACGGCCAAUUUUGGCGUAGUUCGAACUGUUGCAGUUGGGCCUCCUCCUGCAGUUCCUACUGCAGUAGUUGGAGUUAAAUACAUCAAACCAAACACGAAAUUUGUAUUUACAUGCAGUUAUAACUGUAGUGCAGUUGCAACUACAUGCAACCAAACGACCCCUAAGUGUGGUGAGAAAGCAUGAUGGGAAAAUAACUUGUUUGUUUUUGUACGCGUAAUAUUUCGUUCCACAGAUUGCAAUAAGUCGGUUGCCAUAUAUUUUCUGUGCUCCCACCAAAGAAUAUAGAAGCAUAUCUCUUUAUGCUUUUACGUCAACUCCAUUUUAUCUAAUAGCGUCAAAUGGUCUCAAUACCAAACUAAGUCUUAAUCCACUGCAAAUAUUGACUUUUUGCAUUUUAUUCUCUUUGAUAGCAUUAUGCAGAGAACUCCCCUUAGUCUUGUUUUAUCUUCCAUAAAAUGUAUAAAAAAAAAAAAAACUAAAAUAACAUUCCAAAUUACUAUACGUCUUGCAAUUUUUUUUUUCUAAAAAAAUAUCCAGAUUUCUUUUCUUUACUCAUCCUUGUAAUCAACUUAGAGCUUUUUCUUUUCUCUCUCUCUUUUCUCUUUUUUUUUCUUUUCUUUUUUUUUUUUCCACCUACUCUAUUGCCGUAAGAGAGAAAAUAAUUGUAAGCUGGUUAAAGGGGCAAAACUAAAAAAAAGAAAAAAGAAAAGAAAAGAGAAACUAGUAUGCAACUUUUUCAUCACAUAAAAAGUGUGGUGGGUAUUUAAUUAAAAUGGUAUUUUGAGAUUUUUGUAUAGUUUUGAAAUUUUUCUAUAGUUUUAUAAAGGAAUAAUUGUUUAUAUAUCUCUCAAAACAUCAAAAAUAUCUUAUUUAUCCCAACUUUUUUUUUUCUUUUCAAUAUACCACUCAUAUGUUCUUCCGUUAUUCCAAAAUAUCCCUACAGUUACCAUCUGUUAAGUUAACUUCCGUUAAACGUGAGAUAUUUACUAGAGUUAAGAAAAAUUAAAAUGUCUUUGUUACCCUUAUGGUUGGGUUUGCCGCGGAGUUGGGUAUUGCGAAUGCCCGAGGAACCUGAGUUGUGCAGAGGUGCUUACGGCUCAGGGUGGGGGAGUACAUAAGGUGGAGAUGUAUUCCUGAAUGUGAACCCUCGACGAUGGUGCUUCUCGAAAGGAUAUGGAUUGGGCGGUGAAACACUGGACGAAAGAGUUUACUUCGUGUAUGCUGAGUUUGAAGUCUGACGGGCAGUAGUCUUCGUUGGGAGCAGCUUCGACCAAAGUUGCGGGAAUACCAAAGGGCUACUCGAUGGACCAGUACUUCUCUCUUGGUAAAGGAAGAUCGAUGGGAAGAUCGAUGACUCUUUAGAGUGGGCCCAUGAUAUGGUAAGGAUAAAUAAGAAAUAUUAGUGAUGGUAGAAGUGUAUAUAUAUUUGAAAAGACUAAAAAUUAAAAUAAUUUUUAUGCCCUAACUUAAGGGCAAAUAAGAAAAGUUGGUGAUGAUAGAAGAGUAUAUUUGAAAGGCCAAAAUAGUAAUUUUAUAUACAUAUCAGCUAUUGCUAACAGUUUAUUAACAGAAUUUAACUUUAGGGGUAUAUUUGAAAUAGGUCGGAAUGUAAAUUUUUUUUUUUCAAUAUUAGCCCUUUAAGAAAGGUAAAUCAGAAAGUCGAAAAUUUUUUAGGAGUAUAUAAGUAAUUAACCUUUUAUAAAUGCAUAAAUUUAUAAUAGAGGAUUACGUGAUAACAACAUAAAAAUUAAGGAGAGUUUUGGGCAUAUUUUUAUUUUCUACGAUAAUAUAUUCAGGGAGGUUUUAGUUACUAAUUCUUGAAUAUAAAUAUUAAAUUUCACUGUUUUUUCCGGUAGAUUAAGUGUUUGGAAAACAAUCUUCUUUUAGUCUCUUAACAUGACAUCAGAGUAGAAGAACCUGAUCAACUUCGAGCCUCGAUUCUUUUGUACAACUUAACACUAGCAACACUAAGAUUGAAAACUCAAAUAUCAUGUAUACUAGUGAAGGACCAGCGCGUUGCGGCGGGAUAAUUUCGUAAAAAUAAAUAAAUAAAUAAAUAAAGUAAAUAAAGUAAAAAAAGGGUCAAGAAAUUAUAUAAAAAAAAGCAACUGAAGAAUAAGCAACUAUUUCUGCAAUAAAAAUAUAAGAAUAAAUUAUAAGAAGACUAAAAGAGUAAGGGAAAAAACUAUACGAAUUUAUUAUCUUGACUAUUAAAAAAUAAUAUUGAUCUAUGCGAUAAAAUUUUAUAUUUAUUUGUUAUAUUGACUAUUAAAAAAUAAAUUUAAUUUAUGCGAUAAAAUUUUACACUUGAUAUAGGCAAAAAUAAAAAUAAAUGUUAAGAAAAAAAAAAUUAAGAGAGAGAGGGAGUGAGAGUGUUGAGAGAAAAAAAUUAAAAGAGAGAGAGAGAGAGAGAGAGAGUGUGUGUGUGAAAAAAAAAAAAGAGAUAGAAAAAAAAAAAAGAAAAAGAGGUGGGGCCCACCAGCCCCCCCAUAACCCAGGGAGAGCAUCUUUAGGCUNCCCCCCCCCCCCCCCCCCCCCCCCCAUAACCCAGGGAGAGCCUCUUUAGGCUCUUUAGGCUUUCCUUUUAUUUACUGUAUAGAUAAGGGACAAUUCAUAUGUAUGUACCUAAUCAUCUGUAUUAGAAGCCAGAAAAGUGACUAGAGACAAAACAAUAAAGCGAUCAAGUAGAUUGAAUGCUUUGAGAUCUCUUUGUUUAGGAGGCAAGAACAUGAAACAGAGUUUUAAUGAAUGAGCAUUUUGAAAUCAAAAUGGCUGAAGGUUUCAAAAUAGUCAUAAUUUAAAAGGCUAAUCAAAAGUUAGUUGACUCAGUUCACUCAAUUGAUUCAGUUCCAACAUAGUAGUUUGAUUUGGCAUCAGGAAAGCUAAUUGGUUUUGUGUAUAUGUAGGAUUACAUGUUGAUUUGGCCCAAACUUGAUCCGUUAAUUAAUGACUUCACGUGCUCAAUUAUCACAAUUCUAUCAAUUCUCUCGUAUUCCCAGAUACAAAUUCAGGUGGUCUAACUUAACUCCUCGCUUUUAAGACCUUCCUAGAACAAAUUUUUAACCUAAAAAUGAAAGUCCACUUUGUUGAAUGCAAUAAAAACACGCCUUUCUCUAUAGGAGUUUAAUCUUUUUGCGAGAUUAAAUUUAGUUAUCUAACAUAGUAAGAGGUGGUCUAAACUUCAAAUCUCAUCAAAUUUUUAAUCUUAUUCAAUUUUCUUACAACAAGUCAAGUCCACAUCACAGGUCCGAGCCCGAACGCGAGGACUAUGGAAUAUGCUAAGACAUCAGGGGAUAUGUUGCAUAAGUUUUUUUUUUUUUUUUUUUUUUAUUUUUUUGAGAGAGAGAGAAAGGUAGCAUGCUACCCGAUUUGUUUAUUUUAUUUAGAAAUAAACUUAGCUGAAAAUAUGAAUCAACUAGGAUUCGAAUUUGGGUCUCGCAUACCAACCAUCAAGUCCUUUUGCCACUUGCACUAAGGACGGUCGGUAUAUGUUGCAUAAGUUAAAGCAUAGCACGAGGUCUUAACUUCAAAACCCAAAAAGCUUCUAUUCUUAUUCAAUUUUAUCAUAAUAUAUGAGCCAAGUCUACAUCAUGGGCCAAAGCCCAAAACGAGAGGAGAAUCGAAUAUGCUAAGAACUGAGGAAAUAUGUUGUAUAUAUUAAAGUGCCAAUCUCAAGCGCUUAAGCUUUUAGAAAAAAAAAAUGGUUUACACAGUUUGAUUAACUUCUACUAUAAAUUGAUGUCCUUAUAUUUUGAUGUCUUUAACUUCUACUAUUAAUUGAUAAACUAUAGGAGGAACCCUCUCUUUAUAUUUUGAAAUCUUAUAAGACUAUGUCGGGAAGACUUAUAGCGAAGGAAGUGUAGGAUUGAAUCAUCCUUCUCUUUCAAUUGCUUAUCAAAUCGCCGAUCAGGAUACACCUAAUAGAGAUCAUGCUACAAUUCCGGUACUCAAAAGCAUCAUGAUUAUCACAUAGGGCACAGAGAGAGGAGGAAGAGAAUCGAGAAAGUGGGAAUGUGUUACUGUUCAAAAAUUAUCAUAACUUAUGUUGGAAGUCGGUGUUUUGUUCAACCGGUACCCAAGUGCAGAUUCUGCUCGAGUUAUGAUUGUUAUUAUGCUUGUGAUAUGUGUUUUGUGUUUGUGUUUUGUUUGUUGUAUAGUGUUAAGUGCUAUGUAAUUGUGUUUUGUUUGCUGUAUUGUUCGCUUCUGUUUUGUUCUCUUUUUUCAACUGGGGAUUGUUUAGGGGACCUUUUGUUGGCCGUCCCAAGUCCGUUGUGUGUUGGAGUGCUAAGAAGCACCUUGUAAUCUUUGACAGACCUCUGUAAAAUAGGGUAUAUUCUUGUUUAAUCAAAAAAAAAAAAAAUCAUAACUUCCUAAAUAUACACGAUGAGAUGGGGAUGGUUUUCGUAAUGGUUCCCUCUGACCCACAUUCUCUUUUGAACAAGUGCCCUAUUAGGCUAACUAGUUUAGGCUGACCUGCUAUAGGUGCCAGACGUACCUAAAAACAUAACAAAUUAACAUUCCUCCCUCAUGUAGCAGGUAGACAAUCCUCAAUUCGUACAGAUUAUUAUUCAUACAAGAUAAUAAAAUGCAUGGCCAAUGAGCACCUAUAAGAACAGGGAACUCUAUACUAGAAGUCUAAGUAGACCGGUGUAGAGACAUAAACCUUUUAGUGUCUCAUUAUGCUCAAACAUUCAAUUGGAUCAUAGUCAUAUCAUGACUCCUGCCAAGUGGGCUCGCUCGCGCACAUGCAACAGACUCGUUGAACGGGUAAGGUUCCUUUUAUCUGUACGAAGCGAAAAUAUACACCAACCUGUAUAGCACAUACACGAUAUAGGUAUAAUAGAGUAUCAGAGUAAAUAACUUCUAAAUUAAAUUGAUUAUAAUUUAGCUUCUUUAAAGUUACAACUUUGAAUCCCAAAACAUUACAUAGUUUUGUUGAUCACACUCUAGACCAACUCAGUACUAGCUAGCUAGCUUGCACCGCCCUUACUGUGAUCCCGCGCCUCGCCGACAGUAGAAAGAUCUGAAAAGCAAUAAAAUCAAUGGGGUGAUCACAACUACCGGAAGUGACACUUUACACUUACUCGAUUCAAAGAAGGCAUUAGUAGAAUGAUAAUAAUAAUAAAACCUACUAUUACCACAACAGUAAUGCACGAAAGGAAGUACAACUACUAUGCCUGAAACAUGUAUAAUAUGCCACAAUAAUUUAUUAUGUUAUUCGCCUACAUGAAUGUUGCAAUCUAUUCUUAACACUGACCAACCAUUUGGUUUGGUUCCUCUUCAUACUGAAAACCUCAUGGAUAGUCGAUGGCGAUCGACAUAUCUCCAAUCUGUAUGCAAUUGGAGUCGAGGAAAAUCGACAUCUCCAAGUACAGGAUAGCGAGUCAAGGGUGAUUCCGUUAUGGAGUUGGGAGUCGAGGUUGAUUGACAUUUUCCAAAGAGAUAUUUCCAAAAAGUCGCGACUUACAUCUUAGUUAUACCUUUAGUUCUCAUGACUUCUAGGGUGCGUUUGGUUCGCAUUAUGAAAGAUUAGUAGGAAUAAAAGAUAUCCGAAAAUCUUAUUCCUAUUCAUCCUAUUACUAAGAAUGUGGAAUUUCUAUGUUUGGUUCGCACGGUAAUAUUAAUUAGCCAUGUUAUUUAAUAUUACAAAAAAUAUACAAUUAAUUAAUUUAUUUAUUUAUUUAAUUUUAGCUAAUGUUACCAAAAGUUUCAACAUCUUUUUAAAAAAAGGGAGAGAGAGUAUAAGUUAGAGAGAGAGAGCAUAAUUAAAAAAAUAAAAAGAAAAAUAUAGUCGAAAUUAGAGGGAGUGAGAGAGUUGAAAUUUUAGAAAGAGAAAGAGAGAGAAAGCUUAGUUUAGAGAGAGAAAAAGAGUUAAAUUUUAGAGAGAAAGAUAAGUUUAGAGAGAGAUAUAAGGUUAGAGUGUAAAGACAAAUAAUAUCAAUUAGCCGGCGGGUAGGAAGAAAGAAAGAGAUUUGACAUAUUAUGAUUAUUCCAAUCCAUUAAUAUGAGGAUACCCACCCUCCCUUAAGGAAAUGAGAUUAGUACUUUGGUGAAUCUUAUUCCCAAGUGAAUCCAAUAUUACCAACUAGAUUAUUUAGUGCGUUUAGUCAAACANNNNNNNNNNNNNNNNNNNNNNNNNNNNNNNNNNNNNNNNNNNNNNNNNNNNNNNNNNNNNNNNNNNNNNNNNNNNNNNNNNNNNNNNNNNNNNNNNNNNUGACGAAGACGUUGCUCGAUGGAUUCGGGACUUCGGAGGAAUACACAGAGCCCUCACUUGCAAUUUUUGGUCAAGGUUAGCAGGGUCGAAAUCAUGCUCUUCUCAGCUGCUGUGAUCGCGGGACUGAAUUGUGAAUUUUUUGUCGUUUUAGCUUUGCGUUGGCUUGGCGACCGGACUUGGAGAUUCCCGAUUUGAUCCAGCGGAGUUCUUUUUAGGCCGAGAGCUUCGUUUGGUGCCAGGAGAUAGCACUUUAGGUGGGUUAACUCGGUUCGACUCCUAGUCUAUAAUCGUCGACAUGUAUAGAUCUCUAUUUUGGCUAAUCUAGUUGGCCUCAAAUUCUUGAAUGAUUUUAGAUUUGUAAAUCUGAGAUUCUCGAGCAUGUUCAUAAUUUAAAUAGAUUAUACAUGUUUGGCACUUGGAAAUUGAAGAUUGGAGAAACCUGCGAUUUGGACCUGUCACCAAUUUUAAAUACCUGAUUUAGCUCUAGGAGCCGUUAGAAAGUGUCUGUCGCGAUUUCUUCGAGACGGAGUACUCAGGUUAGUUAGAAUGUCACAUGCACAUGCACACGCACAAAACCAAACACUCCCAAACAAAAGGAUCCUCACAGCUUAGCUGCUACGCGCAGGAGGAGGCAACCCCGUGUCCUACCGUAAUAGAUCGAGCAGCUAUCGCACACAGAUCGAUUCAGCAUCAACACAAUAUCCUCAUGGGAGGGGCCCCCGUUCUUGUACGUACUAUUCUGGGUCCCCCUCUCUCCCGGACUUGAAGCUUCAGAUAUGUUUCUGAGAUUAGACAACACAAAACAGCUAAUGUAACGUUUCCACUGCCUCACCUAUGAAAGGUCAGGUUCAAAAGCAACACGAGAGGGGUGAGAAAAAGGGAGAGACAAAAGAGCUCCUAUGAUUUCUCUCUGAUUUGUUUGCGCGUUUAGAAGAAAAGACCAACAGGGUAGGGUCUCAAUAAUGUCAAACAUGUCUCAAGCAGAGUAUAAUGAUGCCCUAAAGGUUGCAAUGAUGCCUUUCUCCUGCACCAUGCUGUGCUGACCAAUCAUGUUUGAUACAUCGCCUUGGAUGCAUCUUGUCGGCCAGCUGGUUCUGUUUGUUCUGUUUGAAUAUAACUAUUUAACGAAAUAAUAAAAAUAUAUUUUUAAAAUUUUAUGGCACGAAAAUUUGUUAAUUUUUAUUCUAUUAAGGUCGCUCACCAACUUAUAAUAAUCCGGCGGAAUAAUAAGCUUAAUAUUGAGACUUUUACUUUUGCGACCUAGAAAGCUUUUCUUUAUUUGAAGUUUGUUAUAUUAAGAGUUUAUAAUUUAAUAGUUUUACAUCUAGUAAAUACAAAAGAGUAGAAGAGUUGAUAUAUACAUAUACUAGCUAGUAGGUCUAUAUCUAAGAAGUUUAAACUUUUUGGUAAGAAUUAUCUAUUUUAAAGAUAGAUAUAAGUUCAGCUAUAAGCAAUAACUAAAUCAAUUUUACGUUUGGAUAAGAAUUGGAUUGUUCUUGAAAUAAGAGAAAUAGCGAUUAAGUAGAUAAGAUAGAAUAAAAAUGAUAAUGGCCAGUUAUAAAUAAAAAAUAAUGAUAUUACCCUCCCAUUAUAUUUCAAUUUAUUUUUAAAUUUUAUAUUUAUAUUUUAAUUUGAAAAAGUUCUAUUAAAUAUGUUAUAAUUUUGGGUUCAUGUGAGUCAGUAUUGGGCCUAAAAUUUUUUAACAUGUUAUGUUUCGUUUGGGAUUAAUAGUAGGGAGAUUGCGUUAAGGGGCCAUUUGAUUAGAUGUAAUUAUAAAUGCAAUAUAGUUAGAGAUGCAUGCAGUUAGAAAUACAACAGUUACAACUACAUGAAUUUAGAAAUACAACAGUUACAACUACAUGAAUCAUGUUUGGUUGGAUGUAGUAGAAAGCGCUGUAAGUAUAAAUAAUUUGUUUGGUUGCAUAUAGUUGAGAAUUAAUUUUUAAAAUUUUAUUAUUUUAUAUAUAUGAUGGUGAGAUUACCUCCAAUUAAUGUAACAAAAGAAAAUAAUUUUUAUUUAAAAAAUAUUAAGGAGGUAAGCAUACCUUUUAUUUAAAGUUACUCUCUCCAAUUGCUGUAGUUGGAACUACGGCCAAUUUUGGCGUAGUUCGAACUGUUGCAGUUGGGCCUCCUCCUGCAGUUCCUACUGCAGUAGUUGGAGUUAAAUACAUCAAACCAAACACGAAAUUUGUAUUUACAUGCAGUUAUAACUGUAGUGCAGUUGCAACUACAUGCAACCAAACGACCCCUAAGUGUGGUGAGAAAGCAUGAUGGGAAAAUAACUUGUUUGUUUUUGUACGCGUAAUAUUUCGUUCCACAGAUUGCAAUAAGUCGGUUGCCAUAUAUUUUCUGUGCUCCCACCAAAGAAUAUAGAAGCAUAUCUCUUUAUGCUUUUACGUCAACUCCAUUUUAUCUAAUAGCGUCAAAUGGUCUCAAUACCAAACUAAGUCUUAAUCCACUGCAAAUAUUGACUUUUUGCAUUUUAUUCUCUUUGAUAGCAUUAUGCAGAGAACUCCCCUUAGUCUUGUUUUAUCUUCCAUAAAAUGUAUAAAAAAAAAAGAGAAGCUAAAAUAACAUUCGAAAUUACUAUACGUCUUGCAAUUUUUUUUUUCUAAAAAAAUAUCCAGAUGUCUUUUCUUUACUCAUCCUUGUAAUCAACUUAGAGCUUUUUCUUUUCUCUCUCUCUUUUCUCUUUUUUUUUUUCUUUUUUUUUUUUUCCACCUACUCUAUUGCCGUAAGAGAGAAAAUAAUUGUAAGCUGGUUAAAGGGGCAAAACUAAAAAAAAGAAAAAAGAAAAGAAAAGAGAAACUAGUAUGCAACUUUUUCAUCACAUAAAAAGUGUGGUGGGUAUUUAAUUAAAAUGGUAUUUUGAGAUUUUUGUAUAGUUUUGAAAUUUUUCUAUAGUUUUAUAAAGAAAUAAUUGUUUAUAUAUCUCUCAAAACAUCGAAAAUGUCUUAUUUAUCCCAAUUUUUUUUUUCUUUUCAAUAUACCACUCAUAUGUUCUUCCGUUAUUCCAAAAUAUCCCCUACAGUUACCAUCUGUUAAGUUAACUUCGGUUAAACGUGAGAUAUUUACUAGAGUUAAGAAAAAUUAAAAUGUUUUUGUUACCCUUAACUUAAGGAUAAAUAAGAAAUAUUAGUGAUGGUAGAAGUGUAUAUAUAUUUGAAAAGACUAAAAAUUAAAAUAAUUUUUAUGCCCUAACUUAAGGGCAAAUAAGAAAAGUUGGUGAUGAUAGAAGAGUAUAUUUGAAAGGACAAAAUAGUAAUUUUAUAUACAUAUCAGCUAUUGCUAACAGUUUAUUAAUAUAAUUUAUCUUUAGGGGUAUAUUUGAAAUAGGUUGGAAUGUAAAAAAAGUUUUUUCAAUAUUAGCUUUUAAAAAAGGUAAAUCAAAAAGUCGAAAAUUUUUCAGGAGUAUAUAAGUAAUUAACCUUUUAUAAAUGCAUAAUUUAUAAUAGAGGAUUACGUGAUAACAACAUAAAAAUUAAGGAGAGUUUUGGGCAUAUUUUUAUUUUCUACGAUAAUAUAUUCAGGAAGGUUUUAGUUACUAAUUCUUGAAUAUAAAUAUUAAAUUUCACCAUUUUUUCCGGUAGAUUAAGUGUUUGGAAAACAAUCUUCUUUUAGUCUCUUAACAUGACAUCAGAGUAGAAGAACCUGAUCAAGUUCGAGCCUCGAUUCUUUUGUACAACUUAACACUAGCAACACUAAGAUUGAAAACUCAAAUAUCAUGUAUACUAGUGAAGGACCCGCGCAUUGCGACGGAAUAAUUUCGUAAAAAUAAAUAAAUAAAUAAAUAAAUAAAGUAAAAAAAAGGGUCAAGGAAUUAUAUAAAAAAAAGCAACCGAAGAAUAAGCAACUAUUUCUACAAUAAAAAAUAUAUAAGAAUAAAUUCUAAGAAGACUAAAAGAAUAAGGAAAAAAACUAUACGAAUUUGUUAUCUUGACUAUUAAAAAAUAGUAUUGAUCUAUGCGAUAAAAUUUUAUAUUUAUUUGUUAUAUUGACUAUUAAAAAAUAAAUUUAAUUUAUGCGAUAAAAUUUUACACUUGAUAUAGGCAAAAAUAAAAAUAAAUGUUAAGAAAAAAAAAAUUAAGAGAGAGAGGGAGUGAGAGUGUUGAGAGGAAAAAAUUAAAAGAGAGAGAGAGAGAGAGAGAGAGUGUGUGUGUGAAAAAAAAAAAAGAGAUAGAAAAAAAAAAAAGAAAAAGAGGUGGGGCCCACCAGCCCCCCCAUAACCCAGGGAGAGCAUCUUUAGGCUCUUUAGGCUUUCCUUUUAUUUACUGUAUAGAUAAGGGACAAUUCAUAUGUAUGUACCUAACCAACUGUAUUAGAAGCAAGAAAAGUGACUAGAGACAAAACAAUAAAUUAAGCGAUCAAGUAGAUUGAAUGCUUUGAGAUCUCUUUGUUUAGGAGGCAAGAACAUGAAAUAGAGUUUUAAUGAAUGAGCAUUUUGAAAUCAAAAUGGCUGAAGGUUUCAAAAUAGUCAUAAUUUAAAAGGCUAAUCAAAAGUUAGUUGACUGAUCAGUUCACUCAAUUGAUUCAGUUCCAACAUAGUAGUUUGAUUUGGCACCAGGAAAGCUAAUUGGUUUUGUGUAUAUAUAGGAUUACAUGUUGAUUUGGCCCAAACUUGAUCCGUUAAUGACUUCACGUGCUCAAUUAUCACAAUUCUAUCAAUUCUCUCGUAUUCCCAGAUACAAAUUCAUGUGGUCUAACUUAAAUUCCUCGCUUUUAAGAUCUUCCUAGAACAAAUUUUUAACCUAAAAAUGAAGGUCCACUUUGUUGAAUGCAAUAAAAACACGCCUUUCUCUAUAGGAGUUUAAUCUUUUUGCGAGAUUAAAUUUAGUUACCUAACAUUGCAUAGUAAGAGGUGGUCUAAACUUCAAAUCUCAUCAAAUUUUUAAUCUUAUUCAAUUUUCUUACAACAUGUCAAGUCCACAUCACAGGUCCGAGCCCGAACGCGAGGACUAUGGAAUAUGCUAAGACAUCAGGGGAUAUGUUGCAUAAGUUUUUUUUUUUUUUUUUUUUUUUGAGAGAGAAAGAUAGCAUGCUACCCGCUUUGUUUAUUUUAUUUAUAAAUAAACUUAGCUGAAAAUGUGAAUCAACUAGGAUUCGAACUUGGGUCUCGAAUACCAACCAUCAAACCUUUUUGCCACUUGCACUAGGGACGGUCGGUAUAUGUUGCAUAAGUUAAAAGCAUAGCACGAGGUGUUAACUUCAAAACCCAAAAAGCUUCUAUUCUUAUUCAAUUUUAUCAUAAAAUAUAAGCCAAGUCUACAUCAUGGGCCAAAGCCCAAAACGAGAGGAGAAUCGAAUAUGCUAAGAACUGAGGAAAUAUGUUGUAUAUAUUAAAGUGCCAAUCUCAAGCGCUUAAGCUUUUAGAAAAAAAAAUUGGUUUACACAGUUUGAUUAACUUCUACUAUAAAUUGACGUCCUUAUAUUUUGAUGUCUUUAAGUUAAUUGAUAAACUAUAGGAGGAACCCUCUCUUUAUAUUUUGAAAUCUUAUAAGACUAUGUCGGGAAGACUUAUAGCGAAGGAAGUGCAGGAUUGAAUCAUCCUUCUCUUUCAAUUGCUUAUCAAAUCGCCGAUCAGGAUACACCUAAUAGAGAUCAUGCGACAAUUCCGCUACUCAAAAGCAUCAUGAUCAUCACAUAGGGCACAGAGAGAGGAGGAAGAGAAUCGAGAAAGUGGGAAUGUGUUACUGUUCAAAAAUUAUCAUAACUUAUGUUGGAAGUCGGUGUUUUGUUCAACCGGUACCCAAGGGCAGAUUCUGCUCGAGUUAUGAUUGUUAUUAUGCUUGUGAUAUGUGUUUUGUGUUUGUGUUUUGUUUGUUGUAUAGUGUUAAGUGUUAUGUAAUUGUGUUUUGUUUGCUGUAUUGUCCGCUUCUGUUUUGUUCUCUUUUUUCAAUUGGGGAUCGUUUAGGGGACCUUUUGUUGGCCGUCCCAAGUCUGUUGUGGGUUGCAGUGCUAAAAAGCACCUUGUAAUCUUUGACAGACCUCUAUAAAAUAGGGUAUAUUUUUGUUUAAUAAAAAAAAAUAAUAAUAAUAACUUCCUAAAUAUACACGAUGAGAUGGGGAUGGUUUUCGUAAUGGUUCCCUCUGAGCCACAUUCUCUUUUGAACAAGUGCCCUAUUAGGCUAACUAGUUUAGGCUGACCUGCUAUAGGCGCCAGACGUACCUAAAAACAUAACUAAUUAACAUUCCUCCCUCAUGUAGCAGGUAGACAAUCCUCAAUUCGUACAGAUUAUUAUUCAUACAAGAUAAUAAAAUGCAUGGCCAAUGAGCACCUAUAAGAACAGGGAACUCUAUACUAGAAGUCUAAGUAGACCGGUGUAGAGAGAUAAACCUUUUAGUGUCUCAUUAUGCUCAAACAUUCAAUUGGAUCAUAGUCAUAUCAUGACUCCUGCCAAGUGGACUCGCUCGCGCACAUGCAACAGACUCGUUGAACGGGUAAGGUUCCUUUUAUCUGUACGAAGAGAAAAUAUACACCAACCUGUAUAGCACAUACACGAUAUAGGUAUAAUAGAGUAUCAGAGUAAAUAACUUCUAAAUUAAAUUGAUUAUAAUUUUUAGCUUCUUUAAAGUUACAACUUUAAAUCCCAAAACAUUACAUAGUUUUGUUGAUUACACUCUAGACCAACUCAGUAAUAUCUAGCUAGCUUGCACCGCCCUUACUGCGAUCCCGCGCCUCGCCGACAGUAGAAAGAUCUGAAAAGCAAUAAAAUCAAUGGGGUGAUCACAACUACCGGAAGUGACACUUUACACUUACUCGAUUCAAAGAAGGCAUUAGUAGAAUGAUAAUAAUAAUAAAACCUACUAUUACCACAACAGUAAUGCACGAAAGGAAGUACAACUACUAUGCCUGAAACAUGUAUAAUAUGCCACAAUAAUUUAUUAUGUUAUUCGCCUACAUGAUUGUUGCAAUCUAUUCUUAACACCGACCAACCAUUUGGUUUGGUUCCUCUUCAUACUGAAAACCUCAUGGAUAGUCGAUGGCGAUCGACAUAUCUCCAAUCUGUAUGCAAUUGGAGUCGAGGAAAAUCGACAUCUCCAAGUACAGGAUAGCGAGUCAAGGGUGAUUCCGUUAUGGAGUUGGGAGUCGAGGUUGAUUGACAUUUUCCAAAGAGAUAUUUCCAAAAAGUCGCGACUUACAUCUUAGUUAUACCUUUAGUUCUCAUGACUUCUAGGGUGCGUUUGGUUCGCAUUAUGAAAGAUUAGUAGGAAUAAAAGAUAUCCGAAAAUCUUAUUCCUAUUCAUCCUAUUACUAAGAAUGUGGAAUUUCUAUGUUUGGUUCGCACGGUAAUAUUAAUUAGCCAUGUUAUUUAAUAUUACAAAAAAUAUACAAUUAAUUAAUUUAUUUAUUUAUUUAAUUUUAGCUAAUGUUACCAAAAGUUUCAACAUCUUUUUAAAAAAAGGGAGAGAGAGUAUAAGAUUUUCAGAGAGAGCAUAAUUAAAAAAAUAGAAAAUCGAAACUAGAGAGAGAAAAAAAAGUUGAAUUUUAGAGAGAAAAAUAAGUUUAGAGAGAAAUAUAAGGUUAGAGUGUAAAAAAAAAUAAUAUCAAUUAGCCGGUGGGUAAGAAAAAAGAAAGAGAUUAGACAUAUUAUGAUUACCUCAAUCCAUUAAUAUGAAGAUACCCACCCUCCCUCAAGGGAAUGAAAUUAGUACUUUGGAGUGAAUCUUAUUCCCAAGUGAAUCCAAUAUUACCAACUAGAUUAUUUAGUGCGUUUAGCCAAACAUCGUCAUAUUUUUUUAUUUCCAUUGGAUUAUUAGGAAUCUUUAAAAGAUAGCGUGAACCAAACACACCCCUAAGGUUAUCUAUCGAUCACUCACAUGUUCCUUUGAAUCUAGCUUAAGUUUGUCUAGAUAUUCAUGUGUCUCUAUGUUCCACAUCCUAGGUUCCAUCCUAGUUCUAAUACCAUUAUGAUGUCAUAUAUGCUUUGUCAAGAUCUUCAUGUGAUUCUAUGUUCCACAUCCUAGGUCUAAUGCCAUUAUGAUGUCAUGUAUGCUUCAAGGGUCACAAAAUACUUUAUUUAUAUAUUGCAUGUGUUCCUACAUUAACAUGGCAAAUGGGUUAAAAAAACCUAUUUCCUAGGUCAAGGCCCCUAGUCCAUAAGACCUCUCAAAUAUCAUUACAUGCGCAUAAAUCUCCUUUUAGUCUGCACUGUAUAUAUAUAUAUAUAUAUAAUUGAUCUAAAAUACUUUUAGAAACACUAAUUCCUUGGUGCUUCUAAGUUUCUAACCCUUAGAUCUACUCCUUGAUUACUAAUAGCCCUUGGAUCAAACACUAUUCCACCUACCACCAUCAUCCCAAUCUUACAUCUCUCCUUCCAAUGGCUAAAAACUUAAAAGCACCACCCUCUUGGUGCUUUUGAGAGUAUUCUAACUCAACUAUAUAUAUAUAUACUUAAAAGCUCUUGGAUCUACUCCUUGAUUACUCAACUACUCAACUAUUUUAUAUUUUUUUUCACCCUUUCUUCUUUUUUUCAUAUGCACUUUAUUAGUAAAUUCUGAUCAUCACUAUCUAUUGGUGAAAACAGAACUGGAGGUACCAAUCUUCUUAAUUUUCAAUAUCUUGCUUUUCUUGCUUCUCUUUAGCAAAUAUACAAUUUUAAAAUUAUACUUUCAUUGUUUUUUAAAUAUUUAUAAGAUAAUAACAUUUUCAAUGCAUUGUUAUUGUGUUAUAUAAUAAAUUAUUUGCCUCUAAUGCUAAGAAUUAGAAUUCCUGUACUUAAUUUCUCAUGCAACUCAAGGCCAGUAAAUAUUGUUGCAGAAACAAAUAAUGUACCCUCUAAAUAGCCCUAAUAUCUAAUAAUUUGAUAAGAAUUUAACAAACUAUAGUUCAAAAUAUUAUAGUUUAUUAUUUUAUAUGCACGUAUUAUUUUAUUAUUAUAUGAAAAAGAAUAAAUUAAAAUUAAGGUAGAGUUACAUAUUCAUUUUUAAGACAACAUCUAAGACGAAAAUAUUGAUGUAACAAUUUCCUGCAUCGGACGAUUACUUACUAGAUCUUAAACUAUACUAUGCAUCCUUAUAAAAUAUUUUUUUUGAAUCAAUAAAUUUUAUAAAAUAAUUCAGAUAUUUUAAGUUAAGAAAAAUGUUAUUCGGUAAUGUAGUUUUGAGAUCAUGUAAAUAUUGGAAACUAAAUUAAAGAAAUAAAAUCAAUUUAAAUUUUAAAUUUUAAAUUAUUUUUAUUUUAAAAUUUUAAAAGUAUAGUUAUAAUUCCAUGCAUUGCAUAAAAGCUAUAUUUAUUUUGGUUUUUCCAACUGUCUUUUCAUCUUAUUUGAGUUGUUUCUUUUCCUUUCUUAAAAAUUACAUUUACUUUAUCUUUUUUAAUGAUCCUUUGUCUUCUGUUAUAUUUACUCGGUUUUUUUUUUUUUCUCAGUUGCCCUUUGCCUUAUGUCCGUAAGAGAUGAGAUUAGAGAGAUGAGGGAAUACGGAGGGCCCAAAAUCCUACCCUAGAAGUGGUUGAACGUUUACAACUACGAGAACCCUAAGAAGAUAUGCCAUAAAGAUGAGGUUACGGUGCAUAAGAAGCAGCUCAAGCGUGAGCAAUCCUGCCACCACGGUGCCGAGUUCCGCCUCGAGUGCCUCCGCCAAGUCUGCAGCCUCGCCAUUGUCCCCUCCUCCUCUGCCACUGUCAUCGCCGCCGCCACUGUGUCGGAAGAGAUGGCGCCGCCCUUCAAUUCAGGGCACAUCAACCUCUUCGACGGUGUCCUGGACUUCGCAUUCUUUGCUGCCCAGGACGAGAGCAAAAGGCCACUGAGAGGUAAGGAAGGGGCCAAUAGGGGCUGCAAAAAUCUUAAGAGGCAGCAGACGAAGGAAAAACAAUACUAUUGAGUAAAGAAACGGUAUUGUUUUGUUAUCAGUACAAAGUAUUAUAUUUCGAAACAGUGUAUAUAAUACUGUGACUUCGUAGAUGAUUUCAUAUUGGGAUCUUUCAAAGUUGCAUUUGGCUGCGACAAGAUCGCACACUCAAAUUCAUUCAACUUUCACUAGAUAAAUAAUAAAUUUUAUUUUCUAUCUUCUUUUGGGGUGGGUAAAUAGUAAAUUUUUUUAUGUAUAUUUUGUAUUCUAUAUUGUUUUUUCUAAAAAAAAUUUCCGCCGCAUCGCGCGGAUCCCUACGCUAGUAUUCUAUAAAUACACUUUCUUCAUGAAUCCCUUGAAGAAGGAUUUCUACAUGAUCAAGAGUCAAGAUAUCUGGUCCAAGAUCUCACUCCAUCCUCGAGGCAGCUUUUCUAAAAUCAUAUAUAUCAUGACUUCUCUAUUUAUUCUAAGGAUGGUUUCUUCUCUAUUAAACCAAGUAUAUUUUUCGUUUAGAGAUUGUUAUAAAUUGUUCAUAUAUUUGAUGUGUUCAUUAAUUUACUGUGUCGGCGUUUGGUCUCAUCCAAGUAUCAAGAUUUGUCCGUAUAAAUUGGGCACGCAAUAAUUCUCCAUUUUCACUAGAAAUGCAUAUAUAUACAAAAUUAGUAAGUACUCAUUUUAUUAAUAAAAUAUUUGAAUUUUAGAAUAAAAACAAAUCUAAAUUUUAACACGACAAAAGUUAGAGCACAAAAAGUUUAUAAUUUUCAGAAGUAUAUACAAUUUUUUAUGACAUUUAGGAAAAAGAAUAAGUAAUACUAUUUUACAAACUUAUAAUAAAAGGAAAGUUUUCGGUUGGUAAGAGGGAACAAAUAAAGCCAUUGUGGUUUACUUUGGUUUCAAAUCCUACAUAUAUAAAUUUUUUUUUUGAGAGAUAAGUGGCAUACUACCCGCUUGGUUUAUUUCAUUUAGAAAUAAACUUAGCUGGAAAUGUGAAUCAAUUAGGAUUCAAACUUGGGUUUCGGGUACCAACCACGAAACCCUUUGCCGCUUGCUCUAGGGACGGUCGGUAAAUCCUACAUAUAUUACUCUUUUUUACAUAUGCGUAAACGAAAAAUAGCAAUGGGUUGGGCUAUGGGUUCCCAUGGCCCAGUUAGGCUUGUGGGCCUUCAUGCUGGGCCUAAGAUCCAUGGCCCAAUGCCAUGGAGUACAAAUCAUUGAAAAAAAUGUAGUAAUUUUUCCAAAUUAGCAAAAAUAUCGUUUUAACUUGCCAAUACUAUACCAACCGUCCCUAAAGCAAGUGGUAAAAAGCUUGGUGGUUGGUACCCGAGACCCAAGUUCGAAUCCUAGUUGAUUCACAUUUCUAGCUAAGUUUAUUUCUAAAUGAAAUAAACGAAGCGGGUAGCGUGCUAUCUAUCUCUCAAAAAAAAAAAAAAAAAAAAACUUGCCAAUAAGAUUCUCUGAAAUAAAAAAUAAUCAUCUAUAAUUCAAAAUAUCAAGAAAGAACGUUUACAAUUUAGAAAAUCAAAUUUCACCAAUCGAUGAAAGAAGAUAGGACAAUGGCAAACACUCGUCUCCGAUACCAAUAUUAGAAGGACUUACAGCGAAAGAAGCAUAGGAUUGGAUUGUCCUUCUCUUUCAGUUGCUCAACAUAUCACUGGUUGGGAUGCGCCAACUAGAGAUCACGCCACAAUUUCACCACUCAAAAGCUUCUAGAUCAUUGCGUAGGGCAAAGAGAGAGGAGAGAGAGAUUCGAGAGAGUGAGAAUGUAGGACUGAUGAAAAAUUAUCAUAACUUUCUAUUGGAUUUUAUUAGAUUUUUAUGAUUUAAAACUUGUUAAGGCCUCUUGAGAGCUCAAUAAAUGUUAAUGGGCCGCUUGGGGAGCCUAACUAAAAUUUUUAUGUGAGAUGUUUAGUCUCACAUUGGAAACCAAAAGGGUGUUUGUUGUUUUUAUAUAUUGCUUUAUUCUCAAGCUAGUUGCUCGGAAGAAAUGAGAGUUAUGCUCUCGUUUAUAUACCGGGCGGCGGCGGCGUGGUCCAUACAUCCGGUUUAUUUUACUUUGUCGGUUUUAUCUUUAUUUUAAUACUUAUUUUUUUACUAAUUCUAAUCCUUAGCUUUAUCAGUAUAAUCUUAGGCUUAUCUUGUUAUACACGGAUUUGACGCGUUGAAGCAAGAUUCUCGUCUAGGUUAUAAAUAUAGGGCGAGGUUACACGAGUUAAUAUAUAACCCGAGCAUACCUAAAGCCUCUCGUCUUUUUCUACUUUUUGGAUUUUCGCCGAGUUUUCUUUUGCUGGAUCUGAAGCUUAUUGGGUUCAUCUUGCGCCACCUUGAAAGCAUGCCGACGAAGUGGAAAGUGACCGUUGUAUCGCUAGGAGUAAUUGUCGGGAAGCCUCACACGUGGAAGGACAAUUUCGCUUCUAGGACAGUGCUCUACACGUCUCGAUCCACAGACCUUAUCUAAACUUUUUCUUUACCGUUUUGUUAUUUAAUUUCGUUUCGAAAUUUUCCUAAACCUAUAAUUAAAUUUUCGAAUUAAUUUUUAAAGAAUAUUGUAAUAAAAGAUCAGAAAGUUUUUCCAACACUUUCCACAUAUAGAGUGAGAUGGGGACAAUUUGCAUAACCGUUCUAUCUCACCCAUAUUCUCAUUAGAACAAGCUAGUGCACUAUUCGGCUAACAAGUUUGAGUCGACUAGCUCUAAGUGCCCGACUCAUGAACAUUAAUUAAUAUUAUGUUUAAGAUAUGCGAUCAAAAUGAUUAUAAAAUUAGUUAUUUUGAUUGAGAAGAAGUGUAUUGAACAAUUUGAUGAAGUUUAGGGCAAAAUUGAAUUUAAAAAGCUUAUUUGCAAAAGAGCUAAAGCUCAUAGAUGUUUUGUAUGUAUUUUCCUUUUAUCUUUUAUCAAUCCUUGUUGCAUAAUUUUCUUCUUUUGAAUUUAUUAUUUAUACGAUGUUUAGAAAGGAAUAUUAUUAGGCAAAGAAGCAUAUAAUUACAGUGUAAGAAUAUGUAAAUGAUUUUUAUAAUAAUAGAUCUAUGCAAAUUGACGAGAUUGAAUGCAAAAAUAUUAACAGUAUUUUCAUAGAUUUCUCAAAUGACACUCAACAUAAUGCUUUGAUAGAAGAUAAAGUAAAAACUAAGAUACUUGCAGGAAAUAUAAAAACUUUCGGAAAAAAAAUCUUUUGAAACUAAAAAGGAUUUUGGGCAAAAAUAACAAGGUCGCCCUCAGGCCAGCAAUCAACAAGGUCACUGCCUCAAGCUAGGCGGUGCAAUCCAGCUCGUUGUUCGCGGUUAACCAGCCUGUGUUCGGCCUUCGAAAAUGAGCUCGAUGAUCGCUCGCUUGUUUAUAAGCGACGAACACAGAGCUGGGGUUAGCUCGCUCGUGGUCGGCCUCGAUAAAGCUCAGAAUACCAUCAUAUUGUAUAUUUAUAUAAUUUAUUUAAUUUAUAUUUGUAUAAUAAAUAAAUAAUUAUAUAUAAUAUAUAUUUUUAUUAUUUUAUUUUGGCAAAAUAAAAAUAUAAAUGCGAGCUUAAUUAUAAAAAGACUCAUUUAUAUGUGCAAUUUCAACAUUCAGAUCAAAAUCUAAUAGAUAAGAUUGAUAAUUUAUUUUUUUAUAUAUUGUAUAUCUAAUCUUUUAAUUUAUUGUUCGUUGUCAGCUCGUGAGGCCAGCUGUAGUCGCUCGUUUCUAUGAGCCGAACACGAGCUGAAUUUUUCGGCUCGAUACUUUAACGAGCCAGCUCGUGUUCGGGUCGUUUAAUAAACGAGCCGAACACAAGCCGACCCCAGCUCGCUCGUGUUCGGCUCGUUUACACCCCUACCUCAAGCUAGCGAGAGCGCUUCCUGCAGGAAGACAGAUGGCAGAACCUACAAAAAAAAGGUGGCUAGUGAAAUCACUACUCCAUUGCAUGAAUUGGAAGCCAGAAAGGAGAUUUAUAAAGCUUAAGAAAGGGUGGAGGCUAUUGAAAUAACCAUAAGUUAGCAGAGGAGAUAAGAUUUUAUUGGAGACUAGUAAGGCAACAAAGAAGAGCAUACUAUUUACGAGUACAAUCUGGGAAGAUGAAGUUAGUAAAGAUCUCGUGGUAAUUUUCACUUCAAUAAGGAUGACACUCCAAGAAAUAUUGGGUUGAUCUAUCUUAACCAUAAGAACUGUGAGAAAACUAGUAUGACAAAGGAGCUUCAGAGCUAGCUAACCUAGAGUAACAUAGCAUUAAGUUUACCGAGCCUUGGGUACGACGGCAUUUAUCCCCUCUAUCAUCCCUUGUUGUACUACAAGCAAGCCCUUCUUAAUCCGGUACCACCUUCGGCUCCUACUGUCCUUCUGUGACUUGAAAAGAAGGCUAUCUCAGUCUCCAAAGAGCAAGAACAUCUUUUGAUGGUAAAUGCUACAGAUAUUUGGUGAGAGAUCAUAGGGUGGCAUCUUGUAGAGACGUGUCAAGUGAAUGUGGUGCUAUAAAAUUGGACACAAGGCUUAGGUGUGCAAGAACUUUGAGAAAGGAGCGAAAAGGACAAUGUUCAAACCAAAGUAAGUUCGGGAUUGCGUACCUUAGCACAAGAUCUUUGUCCCUUACUUUGGGGUCUACUUCUAGAGGAGGGAAAGAUCUCGGAAUGUAAUACUCACAGAUGUAUUGCUUCUUGGAAAUUUCAGCCAUUAUCUGCUCGACACAAUCUCCACUCUAACUUUCAUGUAGGAUGCUAUCAAAAGAGUGAUUUUGUUAUCUUCCUUCCAUAGUGGGUGCAGGUAGAGUCACUAAUCUGCUAGAAAAAUUUCUAUGUACACGAGUUUCGACUUGGAUGCUUUUCAUGGGAACCUCUUGAUGUGGUCACCCAGCACAAGCUCCAACUUAAGGCUUGGAUCAGAAUCGUCGGGCUCCCCUACUUCCAAGGUGGCGAUGCUAGUGAAUGGAUUUGGAUGAUUUCUUGCAAUAGGCAAAUGAGUAAGCUGAUGGAAGAUUUUAGCAGAUAUAACUGCUAUGUGGUUAUUGAAGCUUUAACGAUAUAUCAAAGAUGAUCGCAUUAACUCUGGAGAAUCUAAGACUGUUGUGUCAUGGUGCUACCAUGACCGCGAGGGGAGAAGCGUAGGAGUAGGAGAAAAUGGAGGUACCAGAGGAGACAAUAGAGGAUCCAUGGCAAGAGAAGCAAUGGCGGCGACGCGCUUGGUAAAGAAGAAGGCUAUUCGGGUUUUGGGCUCGCGCUCCCUCACUGUAGCCUCACUCAAUCCGCCUCCGAAGCCGGAGCGGUGCGAUCAAUGGGAAAGGGAAAGGGUCAGUUCGGGUGCCAGGUUCGCACCUCCUCACUGUGAUGACGGGACCUGGAUCCGCAUUUAGCUUCGGAUGCGGGUUGAACUAUGUGUGGGCCGGCCCAAGUGAGGGAUCCAGCGUGAGACAGAAUUGAACCCACUAUGGCUCAUGUAGUUUAAAUACAAUUACAUUCAUAUCCCUGUCCAUUGUAACUCUUACAAUCUGGUCCUCGUAAUUAGUAGAGUAUAAAUAGCAAGCUAACAAUGUAAUGAAUUAAGCAAAAAAUGGAAUAAAAUCCCUUUUUCCCCAAUUAUCUCUCUUCUCUUCUUCUCCUCUCGAUCCCUCUUCUUCUCCUCUACUCGAACUCCUCUCUUCUCUUCUCUCAAGCUCCUCUCUAUCCCUGGAUCCUACUUAUCUCAUCCCCAUCAAGCUGAUGACCAAUUGAAUUAGAAGGUGGAGCCAUUUCCCAUCAUCUCUAAUUCUACUCAUCCUCAGCAUCAUCCAGCUUCACAGGAGAGCAAUUGGAUCAGGUAUCCAAUUUACAUCAUCUCCCAUAGCCAUCCAAACUGAUAUGGUGGUUGCUAUAGGAUCAGUUUAUUACAAUCUGGUAUCAGAGCGGUUUCGAUCCCAGGGAUCGGUACGGCGCAGUCGCAAGGACUCCGGCUUUGCAAACUGUUGAAUCCGACGUCGACGCAGCUACCCGUGCUGCUAGGGUCGCCUCUGGGUGAUCCUGGACAAAGGGGGCCGCUGUAAGAACCUUCCCUGGUUCUUGAACUCCCAGAAUUGGCAGGGAAAUUAAACGCCCGCCAUCUGUUCGAAGUUCCCACCUGGUGCCUGCAACCUUCUUGCAGGUGGAUCCCGCCAGAGAUUGAGCAAAAUUGGGUCUGCAAAAGGUAACCGGUUCAAAUUUAUUAGCAAAACAAUGGCCGAAGGAACCCGUUUGAAGUUGCUUGAUGAACACGUUCAUGCACUGGAGCAACAAAUGCAAGAGUUAGCGGCAGGGACUGAGAGGAAAUUUGAAUCACUUACAAGUCGUAUGGAGGCGAUACGUAUGGAAGGACAAUCUCAUUAUGAUGAUUGGAAGAAGGACUCUGCAAACACCUCAAAGAAGCUUGAACAGAUUAUGGAUCUAUUGGUGAACAUACCACAGACUACAUCCAUCAGAGGAGCUACAUCUUCAAUUAGUAUAGAUGAACGAGGUAUAUUGCCAACCCCACCUAUUUCUCACACAAAGGAAGAUAAUCAUAUACAACCUACCAUAAAUCGAUCAGGGUUCCAAUUUCCAUUUCCCAAGUUAGAAUUUCCUAUAUUCAUGAAUGACAAUCCGAGAAGUUGGGUGAGAAAGUGUGAGAGAUAUUUUGAAUUCUAUAGUAUUAAGGAACAUCAGAAAAUGGAGUUAGUAGCCAUGCACUUGGAUGAUAAGGCUGAUACCUGGUUUCAAGGGUAUUUAGCAGAAAAGCGGAUGGUCCAUUGGGCAGAUUUUUUCGAAGAAAUCUGCAGGCGGUUUGAUACGAGAGGAUCGGUGGACGUCGUGGAGGAAUUUAACAAACUGGUGCAAACAGGGACAGUGGAGGAGUAUCAAGAGCAAUUUGAGGAUUUAAAGGCACGACUGCUUACUACUGAUUCUCAAUUCUCCGUGGACUAUUUCCUCUCGAGCUUCCUGAGUGGACUAAAAGAUGAGAUCAGAUCUGCUGUCAAGAUGUUAUAUCCACGAACCUUGACUCAGGCAUUCGAACAAGCCAAACUACAAGAACAGACCAUAGCAGCAAUGAUGAAAAAGAGUAAACAAAUGCUUCGAUUACAAGGGAUCACCAAUUCUCCAAGCAACUACAAGGGAAUGGGUUCGGCAACAUCUGGAAGGUACUCCGACACCGCCAGGAACCAACCCAAGUUCACUACAGAGAAAGCAUUCCCUAACCGGCAAUUAAUCGAGCAGAGAAGAGCCGCUGGUCUCUGUUUCAAAUGUGGGGAUAAGUACAGUCUUGGCCAUACCUGUAAGCCGCAAGCAAUGAAUGCCAUACAAGCAAACCCAGGGGUGACAGAAGUAUAUGAUGAGAUCAGUUUGCAGGAGAUAGAAGGAGAAAAGAGGAUUGAAGUUGAAGAAGAAGAAGAAUUGGGGUUAUCAGUUCACGCCUUGAGUGCUGAGGAUAGCCAAGAUACCAUAAAAAUACAAGGAGAGAACAAGGGUAAGACUUUAUCCAUCCUUGUGGACACUGGGAGCACUCAUAGUUUUAUUGACAUUGGGGUAGCUAAAGAGACCAAGGCUGACAUUGCAACUACUACACCACUCUUGGUAACAGUAGCUAAUGGUCAAAAGGUGUUGAGUAAGCUCAAAUGCACCAAUUAUGUCUGGGAAAUGCAAGGUGAAAAGUAUUCGGCAGACCUGCGAGUGAUACGGCUUGAAGGGUCUAGCAUGAUCUUAGGGAUUGACUGGUUGAGAGUGCAUGGUCCAGUCACCUUCGAUUAUGAAAUUAACACGGUUAUCAUUACAAAGGGUGACAAGAAAAUCCACUUAAAAGGGAUGCCUUACAAGGCAGGAUUGCGAAACAUUACAGCCAAACAGUUACAGCAUGAACUUCAAGAGGGCAGUUGCUAUGCAGUGGCACAGUGGAUACCUCCAGAGGAAGGGAAGGAGGAACACAUACCUGAGACUAUUCAAAUGGUUUUGCAAGAGUAUUGGGAUAUAUUCCAAGAGCCUCAAGGGUUGCCCCCGACUAGAAACCAGGAUCACAAAAUAACGCUGCUGCCUGAUUCUCAACCAGUUAAUAUCAGACCUUAUAGAUACACUUUUGAACAAAAGAAUGAGAUGGAGAGGCAGAUUCGAGAGAUGCUGAACACAGGAAUUAUUCAACCCAGCCAUAGCCCCUACGCCUCACCUGUUCUCUUGGUCAGGAAGAAGGACGGGACCUGGAGGUUUUGCGUCGACUAUCGGCAAUUGAAUAAGCUCACUGUGAAGGACAAAUACCCAAUUCCAAUUAUCGAAGACUUAUUAGAUGAACUGGGAAGGGCUAAAUAUUUCUCUAAGAUUGAUUUGAGGUCAAGGUAUCAUCAAAUCCGAAUGCACCCAAACAACAUAUCGAAAACAGCCUUCCGCACACAUGUCGGCCAUUAUGAGUUCAGAGUCAUGCCCUUCGGACUUACUAACGCGCUGGCCACGUUCCAAGCCAUAAUGAAUGAGAUCUUUGACCAGUUUUUGAGAAGGUUUGUUUUAGUUUUCUUUGAUGAUAUUUUGAUAUAUAGUCAGACUUUGGAGGAGCACGCGGAACACUUAAAACGAGUGUUGGGAGUGCUCAGGACUAACCAAUUAUGUGCCAAACGAUCCAAAUGUUUCUUUGGACAAAGACAGGUUGAUUAUCUAGGCUAUGUCCUCACCAGAAAAGAAGUAUCGACUGAUCCCUGCAAAAUAGAAGCAAUGCUCCAAUGGCCACUGCCCAGAUCUAUUAAGGAGUUGAGAGGGUUCUUAGGGCUUACGGGCUAUUACAGGAAGUUCGUUAAAGGAUAUGGAGUAAUCAAUAAGUCUCUCACGGAGCUCUUGAAGAAGGGUAGCUUUAAAUAGAGCGAGGAAGCCACCCUUGCAUUCGAAGGGUUAAAGAAAGCAAUGACGGAAGCCCCUGUUCUAGCCAUGCCCGACUAUUCAAAGCCCUUCGAAGUGGAAGCUGACGCUAGCGGCCAAGGAAUCGGGGCAGUUUUGGCACAAGGGGGAAGACCUAUCGCCUAUAUGAGCAAAACAAUCAGUAAGAAGAAUCUGGGACUCUCAACUUAUGAGAAAGAGUUCCUUGCUAUUUUAAUGGCGGUGACGAAAUGGCGCCAUUACCUCAGCUUAAAAGCCUUUAUUAUAAAGACGGACCAUGAAAGCCUGAAAUUUCUACUGGAACAAAAGAUUAACACCGCGAUCCAGCAGAAAGGGAUGCUCAAGCUUAUGGGCUUGGAUUAUGUCAUACAAUACAGGAAGGGAAAAGAAAAUCGAGCCGCCGACGCGCUAUCUAGGAGAGGGUUUGAGGAAGGAGUAGUACAAGCAAUCACAGGAGUUCUACCCAAUUGGGUAUCAGAAGUGAUCAAGAGCUACGAAAAGGAUGACCACUGCAAGAAGCUAACUGCCAGUCUCAUUAUACAACCCAUAGAUCAACAACCUUUCACUUAUCAGCAAGGACUUAUUAGGUACAAGGGUCGACUGUACAUUGGAGGUAAUGAGAAGUUGAAGAAAAUUUUUUUAAAAGAAAUGCAUGAUUCCCCUCUAGGAGGUCAUUCAGGAAGGCACCAUACUUAUAAGAGAAUUAAGCAGGUAUUCUAUUGGCCGAAGUUAAGAGAGGAUGUGAAGAAGUUGGUAGAAGAGUGCGAAGUCUGCAUUAAAAACAAAUCGGACAACUCUAAGUACGCUGGAUUACUUCAACCUUUACCAAUUCCGACACGGACCUGGAGUGAGAUCAGCAUGGACUUUAUAGAAGGGUUACCCAAGUCGGACGGAAAAGACUCGAUUUUGGUGGUAGUAGAUAGAUUGACUAAAUAUGGACACUUCAUUGCGUUGACUCACCCUUAUACUGCCAUAGAAGUGGCCCGAGCUUUCUUUGAUACAAUCUAUCGUCUGCAUGGGCUACCAGAGAUAAUAGUUUCAGAUCGAGAUCGGGUUUUCACAAGUCAGUUAUGGCAAGAGCUAUUUCGAUUAUUGGGUACCAAACUGCACAUGAGCACCGCUUACCAUCCCCAAACAGACGGGCAGACUGAGCGACUAAAUAGGUGUUUGGAGACCUACCUCAGGUGCCUGUGUUUCCAGCAUCCGAGGAAAUGGCAUCAGUGGCUGGCACAUGCAGAAUGGUGGUAUAAUACCAACCAUCAUACUUCCCUGGGAACAACUCCUUAUCAGGCUCUUUACGGGCAACCGCCACCCAACUACAUGACAGACAACCUAUCUAGAAGCUCAGUGGGAGUACUUCAGGAUUGGGGAAAGGAAAGAGAAAGGAUGACCCGCGAGUUCAAGGAGCAUCUACAACUGGCUCAGAACCGCAUAAAGCAGUUCGCUGACCGACGCAGGGUCGACCGCGAGUUCCAAGUUGGCGACUUUGUAUAUCUCAAAUUGCAACCCUACCGCCAGCUCACAGUCGCCAUAAGAAAGAAUGUGAAACUCACCUCAAGAUAUUACGGGCCGUUCGAAGUUUUAGAGAAAAUCGGAAUGGUCGCCUACCGCUUACGACUCCCAGAAGGGUCAAAAAUUCAUCCUGUAUUUCACGUGUCCCUUCUCAAGAGGAGUCCAACAGCGGGGAGACCUGUUUCGCCUACCGUGCCAUUGGUCGGCGAAGAGGGACAACUACUGGCGGAACCGGAGAGCAUUCUGGACCGACGGAUGGUUCGACGGGGCAACAAGGCUGCUACUCAAGUGCUCGUCAAAUGGAGCAACUUGCCGGAGGAAUCGGCGACUUAGGAGGAUUAUCAAUUCCUCAAGUCCCAGUUCCCCAGAGUUGAUCCUUGAGGACACGGAAGUUUUUGAGGGGAAGGGAUUGUCAUGGUGCUACCAUGACCGCGAGGGGAGAAGCGUAGGAGUAGGAGAAAAUGGAGGUACCAGAGGAGACAAUAGAGGAUCCAUGGCAAGAGAAGCAAUGGCGGCGACGCGCUUGGUAAAGAAGAAGGCUAUUCGGGUUUUGGGCUCGCGCUCCCUCACUGUAGCCUCACUCAAUCCGCCUCCGAAGCCAUAGCGGUGCGAUCAAUGGGAAAGGGUCGGUUCGAGUGCCGGGUUCGCACCUCCUCACUGUGACGACGGGACCCGGAUCCGCAUUUAGCUUCGGAUGCGGGUUGAACUAUGUGUGGGCCGGCCCAAGUGAGGGAUCCAGCGUGAGACAGAAUUGAACCCACUAUGGCUCAUGUAGUUUAAAUACAAUUACAUUCAUAUCCAUGUCCAUUGUAACUCUUACAAUCUGGUCCUCGUAAUUAGUAGAGUAUAAAUAGCAAGCUAACAAUGUAAUGAAUUAAGCAGAAAAUGGAAUAAAAUCCCUUUUUCCCCAAUUAUCUCCCUUCUCUUCUUCUCCUCUCGAUCCCUCUUCUUCUCCUCUACUCGAACUCCUUUCUCCUCUUCUCUCAAGCUCCUCUCUAUCCCUGGAUCCUACUCAUCUCAUCCCCAUCAAGCUGAUGACCAAUUGAAUUAGAAGGUGGAGCUAUUUCCCAUCAUCUCCAAUUCUAAUCAUCCUCAGCAUCAUCCAGCUUCACAGGAGAGCAAUUGGAUCAGGUAUCCAAUUUACAUCAUCUCCCAUAGCCAUCCAAACUGAUAUGGUGGUUGCUAUAGGAUCAGUUUAUUACAUGUUGCUUUGAUUCGAAUAAUCAGGUGGGAAAGAACUGACGACAACUUACACAACAACCCACUGCAGCAUUCGCGAAAAGGCGAGCAUCUCGAUAGCAGACAAUCAAAUCACAGCUUGAACAACAACAACAACAAAGAUGUUCAUCGACGUCGCCUAGGGCAAAAGAUGUACAGAGACGGACAACAAACCGAAGAACCCAACCAACGGUACUUGAAACUCAUUAAGGGAAGCAGUGAGUGGCUUACAAACAUCAAGACCAUAUUUGAUCCUUAGUAAGUCAUGCUUAAGGUGCCCAACACUAGGAGGAAAACAAUUACUCCAAACUUUUAUUGUCUUUUUCAAAACUAUUUGAAUCACAGUUUCUAAAGAAGGGGUCUUUCUUAGAGAGGAGGAUAUUGAGAGAAUUAGAGGAUUUCUCUUCUCACUAUAGGACGCGCUCGACCCAAAAAGGCGUCCAAAUAUUAAAUGUAAUGCACAUAAGUACAGUAGGAAAUGACAUAUCUAGAGGAAUUUAUAGAAGUAAUGGAUAGCUUACGACAUCGAAAGCCGUAUUUGACCUUUGGAAAGUCAGAUUUAAAUGCCUACCAGAAAUCUUUUGAAUCUUUUGAAUAUGUUUGGUCAAGCAAGAUAACGCUAUUUGUGGGCUACUAAAGAUCAGGCCCAAUUCAGGUAGCCCCUUAAGCACUUGGUUGGAUCAAACUGAAAGAGAUAUAAACAAACAGUAAGGACAAGUGCAGCCCCAUCCGGUUUUAAAAAUAAGUCUAAAGGACAAAAGGAAGUGGACCUACAAGAAAGCUAGGAACUAGGCCUUGAGCAGAGUCUAGACUGGGCAUGUAAUGCAAUGUUCACAACACAAGGAAACACCUUGCCAAAUUAAUUAGGAGAUGAACAAAGGGUCAUCUUACCAACAGAGUGUUGAUUCUUUAUUAAAGAUCAAAUAUGAUCGAUGUGUAGGAACCAUUCUAAUAGAGAAGAUACCCUAUUUACUGGGCCCAUUAACACUUCUUUGAUGUAAUCAAACUUGAUUUAUUGGACUGCAUAUAUACAUGCUUCUUUUCCUUCAACAACAACAUGAACCUGCUAAAAUCAAUUCUCUUGCGAGGGCAUUAUGUGCUUGGACCUUCAUCAAUAACUCAUAGAUUUUUGCUGGACCAUUGGAACCAUCCUUUUCUCUUCCGUUGUUCCAUCUUGUUAAUAAGCUUAUCCGAUUAGUUUGCUAUUUAAUCUCUUCUCCUCUUUCUGCAUCAUCAGCACAUUUAUACGCGACCAAGCGAAUUAAUUACUUUCCAGUUCUAAUCAUGUUGUUAGUUAAGCAUACACAUCGAUCGAUCACCCGUAAAAGGCGGCUUUCACUUUAGAGCCAUUGAUCUCUAUCAUCGACUUCAGCUAAUGAGAGUUGUCCUUUUUCCUCCAAAGGGGAAACAAUACUUUCAAUGAUAUGAACGUUCUCACCCGAAUUUUUGGCACAAGGAUUUAAGAUAAGUGGUUGGGGUUUCGUUUGUCCUUCUAUUUGUUUGACAAUAUUGUUCUCUCUACUAGUUACUUGCACAUCAUCACUUAAUGCAUCUAUAAGUUGAGCAACCAAACUGUCUAUCUCCUUGGGAAUCUUACUAAAUCUUACUAAACAUUUUGAGACGUGAAUGGCUUAAUUAUACUAUAUUUUUUAUUCUUCAUAUAUUAUUAUAUUAUUUUUUUUCAAAGUCACCACCCACUAUUCUUUUUCUUCAAUUCGUACGCUAUAAGCAAUAAACCUCUAAUUUUAUAUAAAAACUGUUAUAUAAAAGUGACAAAUUAUAUUUACUCAAUUCAUUUUAACAAAAUAAAAUAAAAUAAAAUACAUAAAUAAUUUAAAAAAUUAAAAAAUUCAUAAAAACUUUUAACAAGUCUAUCAUGGAGAUUUAUUUUCUAUUUUUUUUCACUAUUUAAUUAGGAUUUUUUAAUAAAGAUGUUAGAUUUUGUCUAAAAUAAUAGAUUUGUUAAUAAUAAUACAGAGAUUGAGAAGAAAAAAAUAAUUUACACUACAACAAAAACGGUGUGUAGCGAUACUUUUAAAUAUUGGUAUAUGUAAAAAAAAGUGCUGCUGGCUAAAUUAUCGACACUUUUAAAAAGCGUUGGUAUAUGUGGGGUCGCUAGGUAUAUAGUGACAGUUUAAGAAUGUCAGUAUAAUCUAAAAAAAGUGCUGCUAAUUUACCAACAUUUAUUUAAGCAUUCAGCAACCGCCGGAAUUCUGCCUUGUUGGCUGCGGUAGCGGAGGAGGAGGAGAGCGAAGAGCUCUUCGUCUAGGAUUUUAGUGGAUUGAGGGGAGAAGGAGAGAUGGUGAUCGAUUUUUCUAUUUUUCUUUUUUCCUUUUUUGUUUGUAAUAGGGCCGAAUGGGCGAGGUGGGAUGGGUUGAAUAGAGUAAUCUUUUAUAUUUGGUAAUUGGAUUGGGUUUUAUAUCUAGGCCUUGGUAUAUUUUUUUCAAAUUUUGGCAUAAAUGGAAUACUUACACAAAAGUGUUUCAAACAUAUGUCCCUAUAACGUAAUUCUGUUGUAGUGUUACUGAUAUUCAUAAGAAAUGAAAAUAGCGCAAGAUGGAAAAAUAAAAAUAAAUCUAAAAUACAAUAUAAAAAUUGAUGAAAUACAGUAAUACAUAGUGUUCUAAAAGAAUUAUAUAAUAUAAUUAUAUAAAGUAUAGUAUAAUAGAAUAUAAUUAAGGAGAUUCGAGUUAAUAUGUCAUUUUUCUGACCGCUUAAACUUUUUUAAAAAAUAUCAAUUACUAUAUAGAUUAAAUCAGAAUGAGAGAUCCUCAUUAAGUUAAUAUCAAUUACAAUAUUUUAAUAAUUAUUUCAAAUUAAUAUAUAAAAAUUUGUAUAUCAUAUUUAUUCAAAAAUUUAUAAUAUAAAAUUUAUAUUUUAAAAAGUAAAUUUAUUUAUUAUACACUAUUAGAAAAUAUCUGUCAUAUUCUAACUCAAUUUAAAUAGUUAUUACUAAUAAUAAUUAUAUAGUUUUUUUUAAAAUUUUUAUAAAAUUUAUAUAUAGUGUAGAUAUACAUAUAUAAUAUAUAUUGAAUAUUUUUUUAUAUUUUUUAAUUCUAGUGAAUUUAAAAAUUUAAAUACAUAUUUUAAAUUAAAAGUAUCAAAAUUAAAAAGUUAAUAUAAUAAUAAAAAAUUAGUACAUAGAAUAGAGAUAAUAUAUAAAUAUUUAUCUUAAUAAGAAAAGAUAUUGAAUGAUAAAAAUAUUUAAUAAAAAUAAAAUAUUAAUAAUUGGAGAAAAAAGAGGAACUAUCAUUACGUUAUUUAAUUUGUGUACAAAAAAGAUAAAUGUUGAAAUGGGUCUGUCAACAGAGCGAAAUUUAAAAUACGUGCUUUUAUAUAUAGUACAGAUAUUUUGGCACGGGAGCUAUAUUUGGAUGUCAACAGAUCGGAUUCAAAAUAGAUUUUCAAAAAUUCAAAUUCAAACCCGACUAUCAAAAUCAAAAUUCGCAUAAAUCCGAAUCUGACAAAUUCUAGAAAUCCAUAUCCAAAUCGAAUCCAACUGAAAAUUUGGAACCCAAGCCUGAACUUGAAAAUUCAAAUUAGAAAUAAUUAUUUCUCUUCACCAUAUUUCAAAUAUAUUUACAUUAAAUUUAAAAUUUUUAAACACAAAUUCAAAUAUAACAUCAAAUAUAUAUAUAUGGAGUCCGGCUACUAUACUAUCGGUAGCACGGAGGCCUCCGUGCUACCAAAUUGUUUUCGAUAAUGCGGCUUCUGAAUCGAUGAUCAACUCUGUUAAACUUGAUCUACACAAUUGAAAUUGUUUGGAAAUAAAAUUUUAUAAUUUUUCGUUAUCAUUUAUCUAUCAUACAAGUAAUCUAAACAUGAAUGACUAGAAAGAAAAAUCUCAUAAAAAAUGAUUAUAAAAGAUUUGAAUUUAUGAUCGGAGGUACUGAUCUUACUAUAAUAGUGAGAAGAAUUUUAUAUAAAAUUUUAUACAGUUAAAUUUACAAACACAUGGCAUCGGCCAUCAAAAAUAUCAAUUUGAGACUUUUUUAUCACUAGUCAAAUAAUGUCGAAAAAGAAAAGAAAUUUGGUUUCUAAAUUUUUCCAAUAGCGUAUAUCAUGUCUAACGGAGCCAAUCGUUGAUUUGGAAGCAGUAUAAUAAAAAAUAAUUUAGUAGCACGGAAGUCUUCAUGCUACUAAUAGUAUAGUAGCGUACUCUGUAAUAUCUAGGAUAUUUUGAAAUGAGGAAUUCAAAUAAAAUUGAAUUUGAAUUCAAAUUUCGAAUUUGAUAUAUAUAUAUAUAUAUAUAGUGUGUCUGGUAUGCUUAUGGAAGCACGGAGCGCUCCGUGCUUCCACUUUGUUUUCGAUGUUCGGACUUUCGAAUCGACGAUCGGCUCCGUUAGACUUGAUCUAGAGUAUUUGAAGUAUCUAGAAAAUAAAUUUUGCGAUUUUUCGAUAUCAUUUGCCUAGUGAUUGAAGUGGCUCAAAAUCAACGGUUAAAAAUAAAAAUCUUACAAAAUAUGAUGAUAUGACAUUAAAAUUUUAGAUCAAAGUUAUUGAUCUUGUUUUAUAUGGUAUAAAGAAUUUUCUAUCAAAAUUUCAUGNNNNNNNNNNNNNNNNNNNAUAUAUAUAUAUAUAUAUAUAUAUACACACACGUGGCUAUAUAUAUGUGAACCGAGAGAGAGUGUCGAUUGAUGCGAAUUUGUGACCGCAAAACAAAAAUGUGAUCUCAAAGGUCCAGUAGUGUAGGACGCACCAGUGCAGUCCGUUCAUAAAUCUAAUGGAUGGAUUUAUCGCAUUUGCGUGAAAACUGAAGAAGUGUCAAAUUGAAAAAAAAAAAUUGUAUUUUAGAAAAUUCCCCAACAUUUUAUGUUCUGAUUCGCGUCAAAUCACACGUGGCGGUGCCGUUCAGUGUUCUACGCAUGCUGUUAGGGACUUGGCAAAAAAGUUUGGAAAAUUGUGUGCUUUUCUACAAAAAUGCCAAAUAAGGCUUUUUGACUGCUAGGGAUUUUCAUUUCGUCCCCACUCUCUAACCCUAGCCUCACCCUCUUCCCUCAUCACAGCCACCUCCCCACCUCCCUACUAUUGCGCCAUGCACUGCUACCCUGCUGGACACCACCCCCGGCCGUCGAAGCAGGAUCCCCUUCUCCUUCUACCACUUUUCCUCUCUUCCUCCCUUUCUCUCUCUCCCUGUUCUGUGAGUCUGAGCAAUAGGGGGACCUGAGACCACCACCCUUGGGUUGCCCUUGAACUUCCCAACUUUCGGUCGCCUCUCCCGACGUUCCCAUGCCCUGCCGGCGCCGCCACAGCCGCUAGGAUCCACACUCGACCAGCCACAGGCAGAGAGCAACCCAGCCUCACUGAAUCGCGGCUGUCGCCAUUGCCAACUCUCGUCGUCGACUCCCCAGCAUCAGUUACCCCGCCGCUGCGAGUAUCUGCUAUCCCCGACCAUCGCCGACGCAGCCGGGCUAACCCUAGCUCCAGCCCCAUUGUGUGCAAGCCGAGCUCCUCCAGCCGCCGCUGCCGCUGCCGCUGCUCCCGGCCACAAGCUGUAACGAUAUGAAUUCUCGAAAUCCGAGAGUUGCACCUCGUCCAGAAUCGACUUAUGGUCGAUUGGAUAAGCUUUGGAAAAGCCUGGGAUGCACAAAAUUCAAGAAGUGUAUUGGAAUGGAGUCCGCGAGGGCAAAUCAUGCAAAUUGCAUUUUGGGCUGAAGUUGCUCUCAUGGACCGGUCUCUGGUUGGAGAGACUGGUCCCAUCAGCAGAGGCUGGGGUCGCUGGUGCGACCGGUCCCUAGUCAGGGAGGGACCGGUCCCCGUAGGUGAUUCCAGCGGAAAUAGCCGAAAAUCGGCUAAGUCCCGUGAGACGAGCUCUCGGGGACCGGUCUCUGGUGGGCAGAUCGGUCUCCUGGGGACCGGUCCCUCAGGGAAAGACAGGUUCCCGUACGCGUGCUGUCUGGGAGAGCUCUCGAGGACCGGUCCCUGGUCGGUGAGACCGGUCCCUCUGCGCGCAGAAUGCCCAGUGAGGGCUGUGUAAGAGGUGAAAAGUGGAGGGGCCUUAGGGGAUAUUGUUACAAAAUGAGAGGGGUUAUUAGAGAGGUGUUUCUCUCUCUCUCUCUCACUCCCUCAGCCUCUCCCUCUCUCUCUAACCGUGCAAAGGAGAGAAGAAGGAAAAGAAGAAAAGAGAGAAAGAAAAAGAGAAGAAGAAAAAGAGAAAGGGAAGGAGAAGAAGAAGAGUAUCAUGGAGAAGACCCUCUUCCUCAUCUUCAUCUUCAUCUUCCUCUCACCAUGGAGCUCUUUGAGAGGUAAGUUUCUUGGCCUCUCAUGGUAGAUCUUUGUAGAUGGGUUUUUAAACCCUAGAAAUGGUAUUAUUGGAACCCUAACAUGUUAUUAAGAAGGAUUUUCCCCAUUUCAUAGAUCGAUUUGGCGGAUUUGGUAGUAAUAGCAUCUAGGGCACCCAAAAUGGGAUUUUGUGAUUUGGGAGGGUUUGAUCUCAUUUGACCCUCUAUUAACCUAAUUGGUAGGUAACGAAACACGUUGGCGAAGUCGGUUCGGCAAUUAGACAAGCCGUUGCGAAGAUAUUGGAGAAACGGAUGCUUGGAGCUUCGUUUUCGCCUGGAAGGCCGAGGAGACGUCCAUAAAUCGUGAAAUCGGGUCCCAAGCACCGUUACGGCGAGGCGAAGACCGUUAGCACUUGAAACGGCGAAGCGGCGCGCUCUUGGGGAGCAACUGUGAGGUCGGGCCCAAACGGGUGCCGAAUGCCGCGGGAGGCCGAUUGCAAGUGUCGACAAGAAAUCGGAAAGCUAACUCAGGUAGGUUGUGCUUACCGAAGCGACUAGAUCGCCCUUUAUGUCUAAGAUGACUAAGAAUCCAUGAUGAUGCAUAUAAGUGUAAAUAAAGCAUGUGGAUGAUGCAUGUAGCUAAAGCUAAGUAAUGCAUGUUAAUAAUAUGAUGCAAAUGCUAAGUCGAUGCAUAUAAGAUGAUAUAGAAAUCAUAGAAUGCAUGGUUAGCAUUAUGAGAAUAUGCUAGGUAGAUAUGCAUGUGAUCUAGAUGAUAACUCUAUUUUGAUUAGAGUUGAUUGACAUGAGAUACUCGAUUGGACAACUAGGAUGUCAAUUAGAUCGAGUGACACCUAACCUAGUGUUAAAGAACAUAGGUUGAACAAGUGAAACUAGAGUCGAACAAGUCUAGGUGUGGCAUCGAACCUAGUGUUAGCAAACAUAGGUCGAUCUAGUAAACCUAGAAGUGGACAUCUAGGUAAAGAUGACGUGAACCUAGAGAUUGUGCCUAGGUUAUGUGACGUGAACAUAGAACCUAGAGUGUUGGAACCUAGGUUGUUGAGUAUAGUGGUACUAGCCACUAGAAUGAGUUAGGUCGACAGUAUAGGGUUGGCUAUGGACCCUUGACCUGUGGAAAGUGGAUUCCGGAAUCCCAGGACUUGUGAUGACCCUGGUAUCAAGGCUAGGGCGUGUGCGACGACUUCGCCGCCGAGGUUGAUACCGAGGGAGGAUUGGGGGCGAUCACAUGGAGAUCACUACCCGAGGCUUGAACCAUUGUCGUUUUGUUUGUGCGACGAUUUCACCGCCGGAUGGUUAAGCCGACUGAGGAUCAGACCGCCAGAGUAGACUGAAUCCAUGCUGGGUAAGUACGAUGCGGGUGCCUCCAGGUGGCUGAGUUUGACAUGUACCGUUGUUGGGUGAGGUGCGAUCCGUUCGCCGCCAGACGGUGUGUCAGGUCUCAAGCUCACGCAGGGUAAGAGCAACGUGAUCGCCGCCAGAUGGUCAAGUCCUGCGACUUGAGUCGUGCUUAGCGUGUGCGACGACUUCGCUGCUAGGAGGCUGAGACAGAGAGAGGGCGGUAGGCUGAUGAGCAGCCAGUGCGCGGACUAUCCGCAGAUGAUUGACUCGAAGCCGAGUCGGGUGGUUAGCUUCGAUAGGGUAGAGGAACCCUUAUGAGCUAGAGAUAAAGGCUUGAGCUAAGGUAAUAGAGACCUUAGAAGCCAGUGGACUCGAGUGUGAACCUAAGGUAGUAGAAACCUUAGAGUAAAGAUAUGAGCUAAGAGUAGCUAAGUAAAUGUAGAAUCUGUUGAUCUACUAGUUAUUGCAUAGAGUUGCAUGAUUUUCAUAUCGCAUAUUGUGAGGCAUGGCAUGUAUUUCAAUUGAAUAUAUAUAUCUGUUGUAUAUUAUUGAACUAACAUAUUGCAGUGUCUCCUCGGACCUAUCGGUUGAGCUUUUCCCUUAGGUGGCCGUACCCUCUGGGAACCAUGGAGCUGGUUCUUACCCCACGUUGUUUUGGGGUGUUUCAGGUUCGCACGUGUGCGGCGCGGCAGCGCGAGGCGAGGGCAUAGCUUCGUAGAUAGCACCCUACCCCGGAGACCAGAGCUAACAGUACCCCGAGUCGACAGGGCCUAGGGGUUAGAAUGGAAUGACAACAACCAACUUGUAUUAAAUGUAAUAAUAAUAUGAUUGUAUUUGGGAGUUAAGUAAAUGUAAUGUAAAAGAAGAAUAUUGUGUGAAGUGAAUGCUUGUAAUAGCAGUUAGUUUUAUGUUAUUGAUACUUCCUUAUGCAAUCUUGAUUGAUAUCAGUUCCUGGUUGGAACAUUUGUAUAUUGUUUUGAUUGUGACGCCUUGGACGUACAGGGAAAACUCUGUCCGUUCGGCGGUCUGUUAGUGGUGCCGCGACCCGGUCCAAAUUGGCGGUUGGUCGCGGGGCGUGACACAAGCCAAGGGGAGCACCAUACUCCUUUCUCCCUCCACUAUCGACCUUUGUUGGAGAGCACGCAGGUAAGCUGUCGGAAGUCAACCGGUAACAGGGUUGCUCCUUGCUUGGUAGCCUAGGGUUCAAAAGUGAGCCCUUCACUAUUUUCGGUGAUCCGAGGCUCUCUGAUCGUUUUGAAAGUAAGCACGACAAUCCUCUUGACUCGCUGAAAGUCAUGCUCACCUCUGUUGCUAUCGGCUACUCUCCAUCGCUGAGUUUCGACUCCCCCGCUCCUGAAGUCCUUUGUGUACUGAUCUUAUUGAAGCUCUGUCGUGCUCCUCGGCUGUCGUGCGCGCUUCGAACAGUGAGCACAGUGUCGGCACAUCAAGACCUGUCAAGUGGUGCCCUCGCUUCGUCCCGAAGGUGAGCGAAUUUUGGUAACGGCCCUAAACAUCGCUUAUAUGUUUAUAAAGUUGCAAUUGUUUGGUCCCUUAGGGGCCAUUUUGUAAUUAGGACAUUUUGGGCUGCAUUGGGAAGCGUGUGGUCACUAUUUGUGACCCUCUGGAUUAGUUGUCCAGGUUUUAAAGCCUUCGUUCUCUAGGAAAUAGGUUUCGACGCGUUUUCGGUGAAAUAGCCGGUAGAACACAGUUUUCGCGUCGUUGUGAGUUUCCGGCUACGUGGUUCUUUCGAAAAUCAUUGCCUAGCCUCGUUGGCUGGCCACCAUGAUCACCUCAUGUGUUCGGAGGUGAUCAGUGAGAGGCGGAGGUUUCUGGCUCCAAAGUGGACAUUUUCGGAAGCCCGAUAAUGAAUAGUCUAUCGGCGAUGAUCGAGUUGACUUAGAGACUUGUGUUUGCUAUCCAGUAACCCAAAUAGGUGUGUUUCAGGAAAGUGGAUGACUCUUGGUGUGAGUCAGUGCAUUUAGGAAAGUUUCAUGGGUCCCGAGGGCAUCCCGGUGCAUUUUCGGGAUUCCCGACGAGUUUGGGGAUCGAUUUUGAGAAACCGAUCCCUCAUGUGGUUUUGGGUUGUGAGCGAUGUCUUUUGAGACAGUAGGUUUGGUUUUUGACUUAGUGGACUUGUCGUAGGUCUGGUCAACAGCCUGCACACCGCCGGAGCUAGGUGCAGCUGCGACACAGGUGGGUAUUUCGAUCCGAAGUCGAUUUAAUGGUGCACGCUCGGUGAUUCUCCCUUUACCUUUUCCUUUUACUUCUUGUAUAUAUUUAUACUUGAGCCUUACACCACAUGACUUUGAAUCUAUCUCUACUUAGUAUACUCCUCUCUUGUUUGCCAUAACAUAAAAGUAGAGCGAUAGAGAUUGCCUAUACAUGAUUGUAUACAUCAUUGUUGACCUGAGUGGUCGGUUCUCGUAGACGUGCCAUUGUUGACCUGAGUGGUCGGUUCUUGUGCAUACCCUAUUAUUGACCUGAGUAAUCCGUUCUCUUGGACGCAUCGUUGUUGACCUGAUAUCGAAAAAUUGCAAAAUUUAUUUUCUAAAUACUUUAAAUACGCUAGAUCAAGUCUAACGGAGCCGAUCGUCUAUUCGAAAGCUCCAUUAUCGAAAAUGGCUUAGGAGCACUGAGGCCUCCGUGCUCCUAAUAGUACACAAGGCCUACUCUUUCUCUCUCUAUAUAUAUACAAAUACACACAAUUAGGCUAGGAUGCUUCUAAUAGCACCAUGUCAUUAGUGUUAUUAUGCUUUCAACCCUUGGAUGAAGGGAUGUACGUUUAUGAUGAUAGUUGUUCCCUAGAAUUAAGUGGGUAGUUGGUUGAAUAGUAUGAUAUAACGAUAGAAAACUUGAUACCACCAAGUGCUUGGUGCUAUUAGGAACACCCCAGUCGGACACAUAUAUAUAUAGAGAGAGAGUCCGACUACUAGUACUAUACUAUCGGUAGCAUGGAGGCUUCUGUGCUACUAAAUUAUUUUUGAUGAUGCAGCUUUUGAAUCGACGAUUAGAUCCAGUAAACAUGAUUUACGCUAUUGGAAGUAUUUGGAAACUAAAUUUCUUUUUUUUUUUGACAUUAUUUGGCUAGCGAUCAAAGGUUUCAAAAUUGACAAUUUUAAUGACUGAUAUGACGUGUUUGUAAAUUUAACAAAAUAAGAAAAUUUUACAAAAAGUUCUCUUCACUAUUUAGAGUAAGGCCAGUACCUACGUGCCUUUUAUUAUUAUUUUUUUUGAGAUUUUUAUUUUCAACCAUUAAUUUUUAGACUACUUGUUUGAUAGUUAAAUGAUAUAAAAAAUUAUAAAAUUUUGUUUUCAAAUACUUUCAAUAGUGUAGAUCAAGUCUAACAGAGUCGAUCGUCAAUUAGGAAUCUGCAUCAUUGAAAAUAACUUGAUAGCACAGAGGCCUCCGUAGUACCAAUAGUAUAGUAACCGUGUUGGAAAAAUCUUUCUGAUCUUUUAUUAUAAUGUUCUUUAAAAAUAAUUCAAAAGUUUAAUUCAAGUUUUAGAAAAGAUCCGAGGAAGAAAAUUGUCACGCCCUGGAUUACCACGUUUCUCCGGGCACGCCAACAGACCCGCCGUAUACAAAAGAAUUUUCUAUGUAUACGAAGUGAUAGUUGUACCUGUACCUGUAAUCAUACAAAACUACAACUAGUAGUAUAGAGCUGCUAACAGAACUGUAAACAUAUAUAAAUAAACAUCAGGUUCACUAUACAUAUAUAGUCUCCAAGAUACAGACAUCACUCGCUCUAGCGAGUACCAGCAUAAGUAUGUACAUGAACCAGAAACCCAAAACUACCUGUAGAUGGUACUCCUCUAGAAUUGCAACUAGGGAAGGGAUCUAGCUCGCAACUCCUUUUCCACGAUCAAUAUCAGCGACAGCAGUAGCCACAAAAAAAGGCUCUGCAAAAAGGGGUCAACAACUGGGUGUGAGAACUACUGCAAAAAGAAGUAGUCCUCAGUAGGUACCGCUACCGACCUCAACGGCUCACCUACUAAGUCUACAGAAAAUAUACACAAGGAUAGUAAAGGAAGCUGGAAAAAUUCUACAGCUACAUGCCACUAUACUAUCUCUAACCUCUAUUCUGUAGAUAUAGAAAUGCACUAUCUGACCCAAUCUCACUAGGGACUGUGAACGCACCCGUCCCGCCUGUCGAAGCUACACCAACUACCACCACGCUGGGUUGUUGGUGGAGAGCAAGUCCAACCAGGACACUAUGACAUCAACGCAAAAGCACAAAGCCCGACUUCAAAGUGGCACUCGUUGGCGCUACCCAACCGAGUAUGCAAGUGUGUCUCUACCGAGCUCAAUCAGGCUCUCACAAGCUAUAAUCAAAGCAACUGGGUCUAACUGGUCUAACAACCAAAACUCACGUGUGUAGGGACAUGGGGACGUAAAGAGGAAAGCACAAUCUGAUAUAAAUACAGAAAUCUGGGUCCACCGUCAACCGCGACGGCACCCGACAAUCCGAAACACACUACACACUACUUUAAAAAAAUAAACUCAGCAUCCUAGCACGAGUGUCAACUCAUCCUACACUAAUCUGGGUAUCCAUCGCAUACUAACAGCGACAAUACAAUAGAACCACAGCUUCUAAAGCUAAAUCUGUUAAUUUUCAGAAAUGACAGCGUAGCAUCUAUAUGUUUUCUCCUAAGUCAAUUCCAAGUCCAACAUGUAAAAUUAAACUAUUAGCUUAACUUCAAAUUCAGAUUUAAACACUAAUCCAUGAAUUCGAGUACUAGCAAGGAAAUACACAAAUGAUACAUGUCGACGCUAUAAAAACUUAGGAGGUAUUCCGGCAAUUUCGGUAAACUUCAAUCUACCUCGAAAAGCUCGUCCAACUACGGCAAAAAGUCGAAAGCAGAGAAAAUCAUGCGAUCGCCCGGCCUCCAACGGCACAACCGCAACACACGCACGCUCGAACGACUCUCCAAAUCGACGUCGAAAAAUCACCCAAGCUCGAGCUACGGCCUCCACCAAGCAUACUAUCAAAACUAGAGAGAGAGAGGAAAAUGAGAAAUACUCCUUCUCAGCAGGUUGAGUUGAUAAAUAUAAAGAGGGAGUAGUGGCAUACUUAUCCACCAACCCAAAAAGACUAUACUAUCCCUCACCAACUCAAACUCCUAGCUGGAGUACCGGUACCAGCCCGAUGCCGUACCGGUACUCAGCAUCAAUUAUCGCAACCCGAGAGCAUCAGUUCUGAAAAUAUACUGGGGUACCGGUAUUCCCCUGCAUGGUACCCGUACUCAAUACUGAAAACCUGCAUUUUGCAGAUUUCAAUGUCAAAACUCUACGCUCGCGUCGCACUGAGUCUGUUUUGCGUCCAUUUCGCGCCAAAACGACUCCGACUUGUCCCGACACUCUCCAGAUGUGUUGCCAAGUCUCAAAUGCUGAGAUCCACGAGCAACCCAAAAACCAGGGAUACUACAAAAAUAAAUAAUAAUAAAUACUGUAAAGAAAAUGUUUAGAUAAGGUCUGUGGAUCAAGGAGUGCAGAGCUCUAUCCUAGAAACGAAAUUGCCCCUCCACGUGCGAAGCUUCUCGGCAAUUACUUCCAGCGAUAUAACGACCACGUUCUACCCCGUUGGCACGAUUUCAAGGUGGCGCAAGACGAACCCAACAAGCUUCAGAUCGAGCAAAGAAAGCUCAGCGAAAAUCAAUGGCGAGAAAGUAAGAAAAGACGAGGUAGGGUUUAGGUAUGCUCGGGUAUUUAUUGAACUCAUACAACCUCCUCCAAUAUAUAUAACCAAGGCGAGAAUUUUGCUUCGACACGUCAAAUCCGUGUAUAACAAGAUAAGCCUAAGAUUAUACGGAGAAGGAUUAGUAUUACGAUUAAGAUAAAGAUAAAAUUGAAAAAAUAAAAAUAAAAAUAAAAUAAACCGAGUGUAUGGACUGCGCGACGCCGCCCAGCCCGGCUCGUGCCGUACGUGCGUGUGUUUAUACGAGAGAAUAACUGUCAUUUUCUUCCAAGCAACUAGCUUAAGAAAUAAAGAAAUAUAUAAAUACCCUCAACACCCAUUAGUUUCCAAUGUGGGACUAAACCUCACAUAUGAAAAUUUUAUUUGGGCUCCCAAGCAAGACCCAUUAAUUAUUGAACUCCCAAGAGGGCCUAACAAGUUUUAAAUCACAAAAAUCCAAUAAAAUCCAAUAAAUCGAACUCAUAGGUUCGAAUCGUGUAGAAAAAAAUCUAUAUUCGAAUCCAGAUCUGCCAGAUUUUUUUUUUAUAUUCGUAUCCGAAACUAUUUCUAUUUAGUAUUGAAUAAAUCCGCUCCAUUUGAGUUCGAAUUUAGAUAAAAUUUCAAAUAUCUAUACCCAUUAACAUCCCUAAGCUACACACGCAAGUAGAGUCUAGAACUUGCAAAGGUUUGCUUCAUUUACUCUCUACGGUUAGGGCUGGCAAACGAGCGAGCCGGCUCGCGUUCGACUCGUGUUCGGCUAUAUUCGGCUCGCUCGAGCUCGACUCGAAAUUAAAUGAGCCGGCUUGAACAAAAAUAAAAGGCUCGAAAUUCAUUUCAAGCGAGACUUGAGUAUUACUCGGCUCGUUCGAAUUAGGCUCGAAAAGCUCGAAGCUCGAAUAUAUAUAUAUAUAUAUAUAAUGUAUUUUAAUUAUAUAUAGCUUUAAUUUAAUUUGGGGCUUUAUUGUUGGCCCAUAAAAUAAAUCCAACAAGUAUAACCGUGCAAUUGAGCCCAACUCUAAAUUUACAUAACACACUCUCUCUUUCAGACUUUCACUGUUGCACAUAACCCUAAAACAUGAUAACAUUCAAAUUUUCAAAUCCCUAAUUUUUUUCUCCUCUCUCUCUCUCUCUCUCAGACCCUCACCCAGUCAGACAGUCACCCUAGCUCACAUUUCUUGCAAUUAUUUUGUAUUUUGAACUAUUGAACAUGUUGCAUCAAAUUAUAGGUAAUGUUCUAUAAAAAUUAAACUAUUGAUUAUAUAAUGUCGAGAAUUUCAAUCGGCUCGUUUAGAGCUCAAGCUCGGCUUGACUCGAAAUUAGGCUCGCUCGAGCUCGGCUCGAAUUAAUUUCAAGCCGAGCUUGAGCCUAGAUUUAAGCUCGAAAUUAAUUUCAAGCCGAAUUUGAGCUUACAUAAGCUCGCUCGAGCUCGGCUCGUUUCCACCCCUAUCUACGGUUGAGCCUGGUUGUCCCUAGACAAGGAUUCAACACUGCCCUAUUUGGCUAAAACCUUUCAUUAACUUUAUUUCAAUUACGUAAUUAGGCAUAUGAAAGCAUUUAUAUAGGAAUCAAAAUCUAAAAGAAAAUAUGUACAGAACUUAUCUAAACUAUAAAGUAUUUUCUAAUCGGCUACCUAAUUUUUUAAAAUUUUAAUUUUACUAUCCAACUUUUCAUUUUUUUUUUGAUUUGAGUCAAUCAACAACAAGUUGACUUGAAAAUUUAAGCUAAUUACACUUCAAUAAAAUUAUAGUGGCAAAAAUUUUAUGAAUUAUAGUAACUAAACUUAUAGAAAUAAACCAUGCAUUCAAAUUUGGAAGCCAAAGUGCUAAUGACUGAUUCAAAUCAAAUAGAUUAAACCGUUGGAUAGUAAUAUCAAAAUAUGAAAGGCUGGGUAGCCGAGUCAAAAUGGUCUAUAUAUUUUGACAAAAUCAAAAUAGGAUUGGAAAUAAACAAGAAUCGAAAACUGAAUGAUGAUAAGUUCAAUUUAUUUGGCUCAUAUGAGGAAUUGGAAUUGAAAUUAUAUCCAAAUUAACAUUCAGAAAUAUAAAUUUUAGUUAAAAUUUAAAUUCAGUGUCCAAAUUCAUAAUCUAAAUUUAAACUCAUAAUUUGAACUUAAAAUUUAAAUUUAUAAUUUAAAUUCUAGUUCAAAAUUAGAUUUAAAAUUUAGAACUAAAUUCAAAUAUCAAGCUUAUAAAAAAUUUAAUUUCUAACUUAAGAAAUUAAAAAUUAAAAUUUGAAUCUAUAAUUCAACAUUUCAAGUUUUAAUAUAAUUUAUUCUAAAUUAAUUAAAUAGAGACACUAUAACAAAAACGGUGUAUAGCGACACUUUUAAAUAUCGGUAUAGGUCAAGAAAGUACUGCUGACUAAAUUACCGAUACUUUUAAAAGUGUUGCUAUAUGCAGAGUCGCUACGUAUAUAGUGAUAUUUUAAGAGUGUCGGUAUAACCUAAAAAAAUACUGCUAAUUUACCGACACUUAUUUAAGCAUUUAAUAGCCGCCGGAAUCCUAUCUCGUCAGCUGCGGCGGCGGAGGAGGAGGAGAGCGAGGGGCUCUUGGUCUAGGGUUUCAGUGGAUUGAGCGAGAG